AUCUCUAGGUUAGGGUAAACUGUUAAGAUUUUAACUUACUCAUUUUACCUUCCACCAUGGGGUUUGCAACCGUCACUUGUGCCUUGAGCAGUUAAAAGAUAGAACGGUCAAGUCAAGCGCCAUGUCUCUUAUUCUUGAUCAGCUAUAGCUCUAGGGUUUUUGCAAAUUUUCAAAUAAAACUCAGAGAUUCCUUAUAUGACUCUCUCAGAUCUCUCUUUUGUGGUAUUUCUGGAUCCUUACCAAGGUAGUAAUGGUAUAUGCCUUCUCUCAAAGUAUGUGGUAUUUUUGGUAUGAGGCAUAGUGAUAUUGCCUUCUCUCUCACCCUACUCUAAUAAGGUUUUGAUAUUUGGAGCUCAUAGUUGGGAGACAGCUAAUACAUACUUACAAGACAUUUAUUGCAUAGUCAAACCAUGGAUCCAGAGAAACAAGUCAAUAAGUCAAAUCAAGAUGUGCAUGUGUGGCGAGUGAAUGGUGUAUGGUGAUGAUGGUGAUAACAAUGAUGAAAGUCUAAUUCUACUUUUGCUCUUUUAAGGGGAUACAUACCUUUCUUGCACUUUGAAGCUUUUUUGGGGAGAAUGAGAUGCUCUAUAUUUUAUUUUUCUUUCCUCUCAGGUGGGUAUCUUGUACCCCUAAUUCUACUGUCGGACACUUGUCCAUUUUUACCUCUCGCCUCACUUUUUCUUUUCUUCGAGGUUCCGGGCACUUGCCCCUUUUUAUUUCCUCGUAUUAUUUUUUUUUCUUCUUUUUUUUAGAGCACUCAUCUCCUGAAAGAAUGUAGCAAGUGGUAGUAACCAAAAUAACUGGAGCAUUUAUUUCACAGGGAAUAACAGGGAUAGGAAAAUAUUUUUAGCUAUUCUCUCCCGGAUUAGGAGUAGAAUAAUUUUGGGUGAAUGUGGAGAUGGAAAUGAGUGGAUAUAUGUGGAUGGUACUUCCGGAGUAGAAGUAGCAUGUAUGAGUGAACGUGCAAGUGAAUCUUGAUUUUAACCACAUGACAAGCUCCUAAGGGUCUACACAGCUUGACCACACUCAAUGCUCAUAAGCAGUAAAAAGUAAAUAUGUGGCUCAAAGUCUAGCAAGCAUGUAUAUAUGGCUGUGGUAGGAUUUUAAACUCUCAUCAUACAGGAACUCAUCAUGUGUUAUUUUAAAGAUUUUUUUCAAAGAUAAAAUUCUCCAGAAUUCUAGCAUCUCUAGGAACAGAUAAACAGCAGCUCAACCUUCCCAUAUCAUAUCCGUUAACGACUUAGACUUUAGAUCAAGUACUCUUCCCACAAGUUUAGGUUUAGAGCAAGCUUUAAAUUAUAACAGUUAUGCCUAAACUUGAGAGAGAUUUCAAUUUUAAGAACUAGUCAUGGCAGAGCAACUAUUCAUCAUUUCUAUGAGAGAGUUUAUCAUGAGUGUUCAUAGCAAACUUUAUUUAUUUAUUUAUUUAGCAAAUUAAGCAAAGAUAUAUAUAUAAGCAUAAAAUCUUUAUUUGGUUUUUCCUGGUUUAUGUAUAUUUAUAUUUUAAUAUAGUAUAAGUAUAAAGAUAGAUAGAUAGAUAGAUAGAUAGAUAGAUAGAUAGAUAGAUAGAUAGAUAGAUAGAUAGAUAGAUAGAAAUACUUAUCGGGAUAAAUGGGGGUGCUCUCCCCCAAGCUGAAUUUUGACGUAAUUUCUCUUGAUGUAGUUAGCAGGUGGCAAAGGUGUACUUGAAAGUCAGCAGUAUUCUGAUAGCGAUUAAAAUGUCCUCCGUCUGCUAGUCUUCUUGAUUCUUAAAUCCUGUGGAGCUCAAAUAGACAACAAAGCUUUGUGGAACUGGUCAAGUGUUAGCAUAAAUACCUAGCCUUUAUCAUGUUGAGCCUCCUCAAUAAAUAUUAUUUAUUUAGCAGGAUCAUGCACUUAUUAUUUUUAUAUUUUUUUAUUGUAAAAUGAAAACUUAUUUAUUUUAUUUUUAUGCCAUGAGCAUACUCACAGUGAAUGUACUUAUGAGUUUUAUGCCAUGAGCAUACUCACAUGGGGCUUACUAUUUUUUUUUAACAUUUUUAUUUUCUUUUCAAGAUAGCAUGAACCUGAUUAACUAAGCAAACUAUAAUUGAAUAAUUGAAAGGAAAAGGAUAACUACCAAGUUUACCUCUUGGCAAGGUGUUCGGUGUUUUUAAGUCCUCCGAACGGGACUCUCCGUUUUCUCAGUCGUCCUGGGAUUCGCUAGGUGGCGUAGUCGGUGAUUCCGGCGGCGCCUCUCUUCGUGUAUAACUAUCUUCUCUCUCCACACCUGACUCGGUGCUACGGUCUGCUCAGGACAGUUCUAUUCAAGCUGUAUGUCUUCAGUCCUUAUCACUUCUCCUUCGUAGUCUACCCAUCCGUCCUUGAUGAUUUGCCUCCUCUGGUUGCGGUUGCGUUGUCUUCUUCUUGUCCUGACCUGCUUAGAGUCUUCAACUAUAUAGUUAUGGUCAGUAAAAUAGUUGCGUACCUUCUCAGAGGGAAAGUACAUGUGGACUUCUCCGGUUCCAAUGUAGAUGAUGGCUUUGAUAGUGUUGGAGGAACGGUCGUCCAAGGAUGGUAGGUAGAUCGUACUCGUCUUCUUCCAUGUCAAUGUUCUGAAAAUCAUCUGGAGCUGAAUAUAUAUUGGUUGUAGGGGCAUGGUUCCAUGCAGGAGCUGAUAAGUGACUACGGUCAUUACGUUGACGUCACAUCCGGUGUCGUAGAGUGUCUUCUAAAAAGAGUAUCUGUUGAUUGUGCACUCAAUGCUUGGAACACCAGGGUCGUCCUUCUUGAUCAAGAAAGGUGACUUGAGUCGACGAUCUUGACCUCUUACGAUAAGGAUCCAAUGUUUUAAGUCUUCUGGACAAGACUUCUCACUGUCUUCAUCCUUUAGGUGCAUCAUUUGAUUAGGUGUGGACCUUGACGUCUGCACCUCUUGAUACGGUGUCACCUAUGUUCUUUGUUUGCCCAGCAGUUCGAAGUGCGGUGUUGGCAAUAUCCUGCUCAGUGUGUUUGUGCUCAUAGAUCCAGGUCCUUCACUUGGUGGAGUCUAGGAGUUGUAAAACUCCUUCAGGUCUUGCUCGAAGUGUACCUAUUCAUAGAGACAAGGCAGAGAUCAAGUGCAUGGGCCCUGAUGGUGGAAAACACCAACAGAACCAAAAGUAUAUUUAUUCUUCUCUAACCUUAAGCAUAGUGAGCAAGACAAAGUUGAUGGAUAAUAAGAUCAGGAGUGUAGUAUUUAAAACAUUUGUCAGAUCAGAUGGCUCAACCUAAUGGAAAGAUAAUCUAUCUAUAUUUAUGUUUUGUUUAUAUCUUCCAAAGAUUGAAUGUGCGACAUAUUAACUUAUAUGAUUAGGAGUGUGGGAUCACGGAGGUAGUACUAAGAACAAAGAUUAAAGGACUAAACAUGUUGAAUUAAUUGGGUUGAUUAAUUUGGAGCUACAAAUCAUACAUGUUUGUCACUUUUAUUCAUGUGUAUGCCAGAACCAAAGAGAAGCUUAUAAAAGCAAUAGUCAAGUACCUUAAGGUGUUACCUUACUUGAAGAGUGACGGUACAGUAUCACCUUGUGGAAGCUUUCCUUUCUUAGCGGUUGUGCAUCGUGUUUGUGGCACCCUCCAGGGAUCAUCUCUUAUGAGCUACGUCUUCCUUGUGUAAAUUGUUAAACUUCAUGUGUCCCUCUCCUUGUCUCCAAUGUGAGUUUAUCUCAGGACUUCCCAGGUUGAUAUUGAAAGUUUUCCUGCAGGGGUUAGUACAACAAAAUAUCCCAUAUCUACUAUAGCAUACUAUCGGCUCCAAAAUCAACCUAGACACCAUGUCUAAUUUGAUUUAGAAGGGCAUUUUAUCCUAAGCACCACGCUUAAUUUAAAUGCCAUUGGAAGUGUGUCCAGUACUUCCAAACUAACACUUACUAGGAUAAACAAAGGUAGCAUGAUGGCUUUUAUAGAGAUCUACUCAAGUGGAGAUGAAGUAGUGUACUUAACAAAUUGAGCAUGUCUCAAAGGUAAGGACAACCAAUAUAGUGUUGACGGUUCUUAAGUAUCAAUUUUAAUUAUCAAAUAAACAAGAGAAAGGACCAAUAUGCAACCAUGACCUAGAAUUAGGGUUUGAUUUGAUAGAAUUCCACGAGUUUUGUUGUUUAUCUGUUUCUGCAAGGGGUUAUCAGGAAAUAAGGAAGAAAGGCCCACAAGUCGGGAUUACAUAGAGAUAUCAACGCACCGCACGAUUUUACAUCAUCUAGAAGACUCCAGAAGCCACGAGACCGAAGCGGAGGCGAAACUGGGCCAGGCCCAGGGCGCCCGCCCUGGUAGCCUGGGCGCCCACCCCCCUGUUGGAGCCAAAUCAGGACUCUUUCGCUCGGUAUAUUCCACCGACCUAUUGGAUCAAGAAAAACAUAGUACCACCUCGCCUAUCGACCCAAAAACGCAUAGAAGGGGAGGACUAUAUAAGCAAGGCCCCCUAGCCCCUGGAGAAGACAUGAAGAAAUUAUCAUAGAGACUGAGGGGUGCCCUCGAAGGAAAACCUCUUCUCUAAUUAAUAUUUCUUUUUAGGCUUAGCAAUCAAUGUAAGGUAGAAAUAGAUCUUCUAGUUUCUACUAGAUUGAGAGAGAUAGAGUGGAGGUGUAGAGUGGAGGAAGCCCGGCCUGUCGGUGUCUACUCCAAGCUUGUACCUGCGGGAUCAAGUUCUCCUAACCCGAAGCUUGCUCCUAGGAUUCUUCAGUAAUUCGACUUCUAAAUUCUAGUAAGUUCUUGUUUUAUUGUUCUUAUGGUUUAUGAGUUUACUUUAAUCUCUUCGCAUAGAGUUUAGAGUAAUCAUUGCUGGCGUAAACGUGGUGUUUAGGCUGGGGUACUCAUAGAUCUUCCCUGACUAGCUGGACCGUGGUAGUAGUGAGGAACGUGACAAUUCCGAGCUACCUUUGUAGAUCACAUCUCGUUAGCAGGAAGGAUAGGGUUUAUAGGUGCGGGUUGAACAUCCUUUGUGGUGUCUAGAUUCCGUUAGCCUCCCUAUUAGAACAGUAGAUCAUCCUUACCAAGGUUAGAAGGAGACUACGGUUGCAGUCUUCUCUAUUUAUCACUCACAUCGAAAGACAUUCUUUGUGCCUAAAGGUUAGUAGUAAUAGACCGGUUAGUCAGAUGCACUCUUUCUCCUAGUGGUAAAAAAAUAAAUACGAUACUCUGGAUAACCUCCCGGGUGAAGUGCUCACCGAUAUCCGUGCGCUUGCAGAUCAAUUCCUUAUUGCGUUCCCAAAUAUCAACAUAUAGCAGCAUGGAAAGGAUGUUUUAUGUAAAGUACUCCCCCAAAAUUCAAGAUUGGAUGAAUUUAAUUUAAUGUUGCAUGAUGAUUGGUUGGGCAUACCUUGCGCUUGUCAUUCAUUCGAUCUUCUUGCUCCAAUCCUGGAAAGGUUAGUGGCAAGAAUACCUGAAGGAAUAUUUCUAUAAUUAUCUCAAUAUGCUCCAUACACAAGGCAAUGUUGCAAAUAAUUAGAAGUUCAUGUUACGAUCUGAUAAGUGUUUGCUAAGCUUAUCCUUGGGAAACCAUCAAGUUAUGUUGGUGAAGUGGUUUCCCCUCCAACACCUACCUAUAUCAAGAUCAACUCAACGAGAUCUACAACAUUUAUUAUAGACAUAUGCAUCGACAACCACUCUUUUAAAGUUUUUAUAAAUAGAAAGGAAGAGGGGGUUGGAGAUCUCAAAUGUGGUGAUGAUGGAGAGACCGAUUGAUUGGGGAGAUGUUUUAUAUGAGCAAGGACUUGGUAAGGUAUUUAUGAAAUAACUUCCAAGCUCACUGUUGUUUCUCUCAUUCUCAAACUCCAAGGAUGAUUCUUCAUGAAUGCUUAAAAUUCUUCUAGGAUUGUCUCUCAAGUUUGUUUUAUCUAUCCAUUCAAUGGUGAUAGCACAUGGAUUUUUAAUGCCCUUUAGCCAUUGAUGUUGCUCUUCUCGAUCCUCCUUGUGAUCUUGGUGACUCUUAUGCAUGGGAUGUCUAGAGAGAUUCAUAGGAUUAUCGGGAGGUUCAAGAGAAAGAGCAUAGAGAUUAUUAGGCUCAAGGAUGGGAUGGAUAUCCGAAUUAUGGGAUUGAAAUGUUUGGAAAUUGGCUAUGGAAACUUCCUUUCCUCGUCUGGGAGAUGAUUCCUUCUCUAUCUCUAAGAUUUUUCUAUGAAGACUAGUGAAAGAAGGAUGUCCACAAAUGAAGACAUACCUUCAUUUACUAAUAGAUAAAGAAAGAAAGACACUACCAAAUGUUAUAUGAUUAAGACCAAUGUGAAAAUAUUUAGGAAAAACAUGGUCUUGUAGGGCUAGGUCUAAACCAGAAUUUAUAGAAAGAUUAACAGAUUCCCUAGGUGUAGCUAAAAGUGCAUUAUCUUCUUGAUUAAAAGAUAGGACCUCAGCUAUAGAAAAGGGUUGGUUUUGACCUAUUGCAAUCAACUCCGGACACAGAUCAUAAUUAGGGGCAGGACGUGUUGACUCCCAUGGUCUAUGGCUGGUCUCCGAAGGUGCAAAGAAUUCAAUAAUAGGUACGGAAUUUAAGUUAUCCAUAAAGAUAAAAAGAUAAAAGAAUAAAAGUAUAAAAGUAUAAUACAAGAUAAUAGCAAGACUCAAAGUUAUCUCAGCAAACCGUCUUUCUUCCCGGCAACGGCGCCAGAAAUGCUUGUUGAUAUUUGGUAACGCAAUUAGAAAAUGAUCCGCAAGCGCACGGAUAUCGGUGAGCAUUUCACCCGGGAGGUUAUCCAGAGUUAUCGUAUUUAUAUUUUUACCACUGGGAGAAAGGGUGCAUCUGACUAACCAAAUCUAUUGCUACUACCCCUUUAGGCUACAAAGAAUGUCUCUCGAUGUGAGUGAUGUAUAGAGAAGACUACAACCGUAGUCUCGUUCUAACCUUGGUAAGGAUGAUCUACGGUUCUAUUGGGGAGGCCCACGGAAUCUAGACAACACAAAGGAUGUUCGACCCGCACCUAUAAACCUACCCGUCCUGCUAACGAGAUGUGGAAUACAAAGGUAACUCGGAAAUGUCACGUUCCCCGCUACUACCACGGUCCAGCUAGUCAGGGGAUAUCUAUGAGUACCCUAGCCUAAACACCAUGUUUACGCUAACAAGUGAUUACUCUAAUACUCAACCGGAAGAGGAUUAAAGUAAACUCAUAAACCAAAGAACAAUAAAACAAGAACUUACUAGUAUUAGAAGUUGUUGGGUAUUUUAAACGCAAACAGAAAAAUCCGUAAGCGCACGGAUAUCGAUGUAGCCUUCACCCGGGAGUAUUCCAGAGUAUCGAUUUUCCACAGGGAACGUGAGUGUCCUAAUUAAGAUUCAAGAUCGCCCAAGGAUAACUAUAUAAUUAUUUUUUUUUGGUGGGAAGAGAGGAAGUUUCCUGAGAGUUCUCUAGUUGAUCUAAGAAUCAAGAAUUACUUCAAGAUUAUCUAUUUCGGGACAUCAGAGCACUAACCACAGAAAGAGAUGAGAAGGGGGCUAGGAAGGUCUGACUACGGUCCUACAAACACCGAUCCGAACGAGGUGGAAUACGUCGACCGUUAGGGCUGUCACUACCCUAAGGCUACCACAACAAUCCGCAGGAUUGGGUGCAAUUCCAGGUAAUUGCAAGACUAAACACCACGUCUAAUCUAUUAAUUACUACUCUAAUGUUGCAAAGAUUAGAGCACUUGAUGCAAGCGGGAAUCCAAUAAAUAACUUGAAUGUAAAUAAAAGUAAUUAAAGAACUCAGGAUUAUGAAUUGAAGAACCUGGAGAACGAUGAAGAACGAACCAGUUGCGGCAAAAGUACAAUGUUGAGGAAGAUCCGACAGAUCCGGCUCCUCCUCCUCCGCUCUCCUCUUCUCUCUCCCUAUUUUCUUGAUUACAACUAGAACUAACUAGAACUAGAACUAGAGGAACUAGAACUAGAACUAGAUGAACUAGAACUAGAUCUAGAUGAACUAGAGGUAGAACUAGAAGAACUAGAGGGAUCCUCUCUACUUGGAUGAAGAAUUGAAACCCUAGCUUUGAUUCUGUAGAAGAGGUAUGAUCUUCAGGGGCCAGGGGGUCUGGUUUUAUAGUCCCUUCAAGUGAAUCUAGGCCGUCGGAUCAAACCGACAUUGAUCGCAUGGUUUUCCUUGAUCCUUUAGGUCGGUGGAGCAUAAUCCGCGAAACGUGUCCUGAUUGGGCACUGUAGCUGGGCGGGCGCCCAGGAGAGUUGGGCGGGCGCCCUGCCUCCGAGCCCGAUUUCCUUCCCGUUCGUUCCCGUGGCUUCUAGAGUCUUCUAGAUGAUAGAAAAUUGCGCGACACGUUAAUAUCUCUAUGUAAACCCGACGUGUGGGAGUUUCUUCCGUAUUUCCUGAUAACCCCCUGCAGAAAUAGACAAACACCAAAACUCGUGGAAUUCUGUCAGAUAAAACCCUAAUUCUAGGUGUUGGUUGCAUUUGGAUCCUUUUCCAUGAUUAGUUGAUGGUUAAAUCUGAGCAUUAAGGACCGUCAACAGAAGCAAGCCUCGGGUUAGGAGACUUGAUCCCGCAGGUACAACUCGGAGUAGACACCGACAGGCCGGCCUUCCUCCGAUCCACACCUCCACUCUAUCUCUCUCAAUCUAGUAGAAACUAGAAGAUCUAUUUCUACUUUACAUUGGUUGCUAAGCCUAAAAAGAAAUAUUAUUUAGAGAAGAGGUUUUCCUUCGAGGGCACCCCUCAAUCUCUAUGAUAAUUUCUUGUCUUCUCCAGGGGCCAGGGGGGUCUCCUUAUAUAGUCCUCCUCCUCUAUGCGUUUUUGGUUCAGCAGGCGAUGUGGUACUAAACUUUCCACCAUAUCUCAUUAAAAUGCACAUAGGCCUUAAUGGACCAAAAUCUGAUUUGGGCCCAAUUAAUCCCGCAGCUCUUUUAUAUGGAGUCCUUUUAUUAAUAUCUCUUGAUUCCGAACUCCAAAUAUAGCAAAUAAUAUAUGCAUUUCGAUCAGCUCGACAAGAUCUUUGCAAUGGUGUACUCCAUUCUGUGAUUGGUGGAAACACCUGGGCGGGCGCCCAAGGGGGGUGGGCGGGCGCCCUGCCCUCGGGCCCGUUUGCCUUCUCGUUCGUUCCCGUGGCUUCUGGAGUCUUCUAGAUGGUAGAAAAUUGCGUGGUGCGUUGAUAUCUCUAUGUAAUCCCGACAUGUGGGCCUUUCUUCCUUAUUUCCUGAUAACCCCCUGCAGAAAUAGACAAACACCAAAACUCGUGGAAUUCUGUCAAAUAAAACCCUAAGUCUAGAUGUUGAUUUCAUGUGGAUCCUUUUCUUUGUUUAUUUGAUAAUUAAAUUUGAUACUUAAGGACCGUCAACAGUACUCAGCUAGACUUACCCGACAUAAAUUAAAAUAAAGACUCUUCAAGGAUCAUGAAGGCUAUAUAGUGAGGUAGCUGACGACCAUUUUGCAAAACCGCAGAAUUCUAUUAUCAUCACCUAGAUAAAUCUUUUCUUCUUUUAAUUUGCUCAAGUUGAAGGUAUCAUUACCUAUUAUCAAGGUUUUGCACCUGAACUAUUACAAGCAAUUAUAAAGAUAUGAUAGUACCUCAUCAUAGCAUUCAUAAACCAUUUAUCAUUAUAACCCAAGUGCUCCAUAGUCCUUACUACGAGGACGAAGCUCAUGUCAAGUGCUCACUAUCCAGGAGCGAUGGCGAUUCGAAUCGAUUUCUAACCAGCUGGCGAGGUAUUCCCCACACAAACCACACUCACUGAUCAAGUGAGCUACAGAUCACCGUAUUACACUAUCCAGGACCAAUUCGCGGGUUCGGCAGGCACCGCCAGUACCCGAGGACCGUUCCGGCGACCGAGGUAUCCAAGGUAUACCAAGGUUGCGCGCCGCGCCCUCGUCAUUCUCCUCAACCAUCACCAAUACAGCGCAUGGCGGCUCGAUUCCCGGCCCGGAUAGUGUUCAGGCUUCGCGGUCGGAACGGCUUAUCCUUCCAGCUAAGUGUGGGGCAUGCGUUCAACAUGACAAGAGGGCCGUCAACGACCGGUCCUUAAUCGACACAGGCAGAGGCACUAUGGUCAAACCACCAUAAGACCCGGCCUGGUCUCAAAUUCCAUUCCACACUUGGUUAUUCUUUUCCCAAAGCAACCACUGCUUACCCAAGCAGGUAUCCACCUAUAUCUCGCAGGUGACCGGAAAUCACCCGACUUCUACCGGACUAUGCAAGCUAAGCAUCGACUCCGUACCUAUCUACAUAGGACAAGGUAGAUAAAUGAGGGGUGAUAUCAAGGAGUACCAAUGCAUCAACGGUAUCAACCAACUCCUAUCACUUAGAUGCAGUAAUAUAGAACAAGCAUAAUAUAUCCUGUAAGUUAGCGAGAAUAGGGAGACUUAGAAUGCUCUGGGGCUUGCCUUUCUCAAACAUGCUGGCUCGGUGAUGCGGACACUCCUGCAGUUCCUCUCUGGACUCCUGUGCUUCCGGAGGUUCCUGCUCGUGAAUCUCCUCUGGUUCCUCGGGUCCCACCUCGUUCUCCUGCGAGCCUGUAUGAUGCAUGUGUGCUCAUGAGUGGAGUGCGAGAUGCCCGAGUGGAUGCUUGUAUGAGAAGGUACCAAAGGAUCAUGACAUGAUGCAUAGAUGAUACACUUGGUCAUGCUCAUUACAAGGUAGUCAACAUCAUCCAGGAACAGACAAUUGGACUAAACAUCUAGUGCAUUCUCUUCUACAAGUAUUUUUCAAGUGUGACCAGCAACCCACAAGUUGCUUCAAAGAUACACCAAACCCAAACUUAUUCUAUUCAACCUAUACAUACAACAAUUCAUAAUUUUCUUUAUUCAUUUCUAGGCCCAUUAAAUUUACAUGCAGUUCUGUUCAUGAAUAAAUUCCUCAAAAAUCACAGGAGACUACCAGUCAAGCAUAAAGUCUACUGUAAAUUUUUCAUAAUUUUUGGAUACUUAUUUUGAGCUACAAAAAUCACAGGAUUAAUUAAUAAGGUAAGUAUAAUCACUCUACUGUGAUAUAAGUGUCAAACAACAGAUUUCAUAUUUUUACAAUUUGUCUAAUAUCAUAAGAUACACCCACAAAAUUUUCCAGAUUUAUUGCAUGAUCCAAUUAAUUUUUAAAAAUCAUAAACCACUGCCAUGCAAGCAUUUAAAUUACCAUAAAUUCAUUUAUACACCAAAUAAUAUGUAGCAAUAUUUUCCCAGUGAGUAAACAUACAUGCAGAGCCAACAAAUCAAGUUUCACAUUUUUCUCAACCAUAUUUUAAUUACUAUGCAUUUUCAAAGUUUAGCAAAAAACAUGGAUUAAAUAUUUUCAUACAGAAAAGUUACUCAAACAUGACAUGCAAUUACAUCAAACUGUAGAUCUGGAAAUAUAGAGCACACCAAAAUUUAUUUCAUCAAAUUUCGAGCUGUAGAACUCAAGAUAUGAAUUUUAAAACUUUCGAAUCGAUUUCUGGAAAACAUUUAUUCAAGAAAACCGACGAAAAAGGCUAAACACACCCUGAUCUACACCCACCGGGGUCCCCCUGUGACUGACAGUGGGCCUCUGGCCCCACUGUUCAGCGAGACUGAGAGGGAGCUCACCUCCGACGAGCAGAUCUCGCCGGCGGUGAGGUCCCCGGCCACGGGGUGAGCACCAACGUGCUCCCCGCAGCGAGGCGCACCCAGCGGUACUCUCGGAUUGACCGGAGGAUGGCCGGAGCACCUCCGACGAGCGUGCAUGGUGGCACAGCGGCGCUGCUCGCCGUGGCCAGGCCGCUCGGGCGUGGUAGAGCGUGCGCAUACGGCUCUCCGAGCUUCCUCACCACCCUACCGACCUAGCGCAACCAAAAACCAGCAAAAAGAGGCAGGGAAACGCAAGAUACGUCGCGGCGGAGUACUCCGGCGAGCUCGGGGUAACUCCGGCGAGCUAUUCACGGCGCUCGAUGGACUCUCACCUCGGUAGAACGCUCGCACAAGCUUACCCUAACGAUGGCAAAGGCGCUGGUGGCUUCGGUGUCGAGUUUUGGUCACCGGAGUGGCCGGCGGUGAGCAGCGGAGCUGCUCCGGCGAUGGCGCCGCGGCGGAGUUCUACGGCUCGGUUGCGCUCGCGAGCGGAGGGAGGAAGGAGAAGGGCGUGGGCGACAGGAUGGAGGGAAUGGCCUGGGAGCCCGAGCCGGCGUCCCGACCAGGGGGUGUUGGAGGCCGGCCGCGGCGCGCUCCUCGCCAGCGUACGGCCGCCAUGUGGCCGACGCUGGCUGGGACGAGGCGCGUCCGCGCGCGGGAGAGAGGGGGAGGGGGAAGCAGGCCGGGCCGCUCGCUGGGCCGAAAGGGAGGCGGGGUUGGCCCGGCAGCGCCUGCCCCUUUUCAUUUUUUUUUGAAUUUCUUUUCUCCAAAUCCUUUCUAAAUUCAUUUGGACCAAUUUAAAAUCAUUUUCACCUCUUGCUCCCAAAAACAAAGUUGUUCCAAAACAAAAACCCCACAACUUUGUUUUAAUAAGCAAGACCAAAUUCCCAACAGAAUUUGAAUUACAAAUUAAAACUAGUUCUAGGUUUUCAAAUAAAUUCAAUUUGGGGAUUUUUGUAUAAAUUCCAUUUCUCAAAUUCUAUAGCUCCAAAAAUUGCACAAAAAUAUUCUUAAUUCUUCUUACACAUAAUUCAACCUAGUUUGAAUAUUUCACAUUUUUAGAAGCAAGCAUCAUAUUUUUAGCAUAAUUAAAACACAUGAAAUAAAGCACACAAAAUCAUGUUUUUGGGAUGAAUGACAUGCUCAUGAUGCUAUGCUUGAUGAGAAUGCUUAUGCAUGUUGUAAUAGGGCUAAAUGCAUGCUUAACACCUAGGGUGUUACAGGGGCCAUUGCUCAGGCUGGCAAGGCUAUCGAGGAUCUCCGCGUUGCCAACACUGUGCUGGCCCGCUCCACCAAAGAGAUCGAGAGGGCCAACACCAGACUAGUUGGCGAGAACACGGCCUUGGAGGAGAGUGUCCGUAGUACGUUUCCUCUGUCGGAUUUCUUUUUUGAGGUGUGCUUGGUUUUUCCUAAAGUUUCUUGUAUUGGCAUUUACAGGGCUUAAGGACGAACUCUUAGCCACCCAAGUUGAGGCCCGUAGUGCUAAGGCCCAGCUCGAGGCGGAGGUUGCUUUGAACCGUCGAGUGCGGACGGCGAUAAACGACCUCUCGACCUCUUGGGAGGUCGAGCCUAUGGACGAGUCGAAGGAGGUCGAGCCUAUGGUCGACCAGCUGUGCUACUUAGGCGCGAUGCUGAGAGAUCGGGUGCGGGAUGCCCUCCACAUCGGGGUGAAGCGGGCGAUGGCGGUUGUCUGCUCGGGCUUCACCUACGACAUGGAGGUGGUGUCCCACGGCUUCGUCACCGACAUCUCCAUGACCGACGCGGAGAACGAAGAGAGGCUCCAUGCCUUGAUCGACGACGCGGAGGCUCCUGGAGAGAGGCUGGCCAAGCUUUCUGAGCCUGAGGUGCUUCCUCCUGAGACUAGCUCGGGCGCAGGCGAGGGUGGUGAGGAUCGUGCUGUAGACUAAGGCCUGCGAGCCUUCUUUGGGUGCUGGGGGCCCCUUGUAUAGUACUCCUAUUAACUUGUUUUUAAGGGAUAUGGUGUCUUUAAGUAUUUGUUAAAUGUUUAUCUGUCUUUCCGCUCAAGGCUCUUUUAUUUCCCUUUGCGCCUACGUUUGUAUUCCUCGUUCGAUCUUUUGUCAAAAACAGCCUGGAUCACCUCAAGGGUGGGGAAGUGAGUAGAGUUUCCAUAGCCUGGGGGCGUAGGAGUUCUCAGGCUUGUUGUCCCUCGUCCCUUAAGGGGCUGGAGGCACCUCAACUUACUCGAACGUGCAAGGUUUACUAGGUUUCUUGGCUUUUUCGACACUUGGGGGGGUCGCCCCCCCUGGUAGCCCCCGAGGGAGUAUCGACUAUGAUGGGUCAUAGUUGGUACUCCCUUCUGACGUCGAGAUUUGAGAAAGUAAAUCGCUCGAGGGAAAGACUUCAUUUAUUCAUACAUUCAUUUACAAGGCCUUGGUACAGAAUGUACGUAGGAACAUAAAGUUUUGAACUUCUAGGGGUAGAAUCGACGUAGCUGUUCGAUGUUCCACGCGUUGGUGAAGAUCGUCCCCUUUUCAUCCGCGAGCUUGUAUGUCCCUGGCUUCAGGACCUCGGCCACCACGUAUGGGCCCUCCCAAGGUGGAGUCAGCUUGUGGCGUCCUUGAUUACUUUGCCGGCGUCGUAGGACAAGGUCGCCCACGUUUAAGUCCCUCUUGCGCACGUGGUUGUCGUGGUAGCGUCGAAGUCUCUGCUGGUAUCUGGCAGAGUUAAGGAGGGCCAUGUCUCGAGCCUCCUCGAGUUGGUCGACCAUGUUUUCUUGAGUCUCCUUAUUUGAUUGCUCGUUGUACGCUUUAAGUCGAGGGGACCCAUACUCGAGGUCUGUGGGGAGGACGGCCUUAGAGCCAUAGACCAUGAAGAAUGGGGUGUAUUUUGUGGCCCUGCUUGGUGUUGUCCUUAGGCUCCAUAGGACCGAGGAAAGCUCCUCGACCCACUUUUUGCCGAAUUUCUUCAAGCGAUUGUAGAUCCUUGGCUUGAGUCCUUGUAAAAUCCUACCGUUGGCACGCUCGACCUGGCCGUUAGUUCGAGGGUGGGCUACUGCAGACCAGUUCACACGGAUGUGAUGCUGAUCGCAGAAGUCCAAGAACUUUUUGCCGGUGAACUGAGUGCCGUUGUCGGUGUUGAUGACGUUGGGAAUCCCAAACCGGUGGAUGAUGUCGGUGAAGAAAAGGACGGCCUGCUCGGAGCGGAUGUUGGUGAUGGGUCGAGCCUCGAUCCAUUUGGAGAAUUUGUCGAUGGCCACGAGCAAGUGGGUGUACCCUCCUUUCGCCUAUUGUAGGGGCCCUACUAAGUCGAGCCCCCACACCGCAAAUGGCCAUGUAAUGGGGAUCAUCUGAAGAGCGUGGGCGGGCAGAUGCGUCUGUUUGGCGUAGAACUGGCACCCAUGACAUGAGCGUACGAUCUUGAUGGCAUCUGUUACGGCCGUUGGCCAGUAGAAGCCUUGUCCGAAGGCGUUACCUACGAGGGUCCGUGGAGCGGCGUGGUGGCCGCAAGCCCCCGAGUGUAAGUCCUCGAGGAGUUUCCGGCCUUCUUCCACGGUGAUGCAACGCUGCAAGACCCCCAUCGGGCUUCGUCGAUAUAGCUCAUUGCCUUCGCCAUAAAUCACAUAUGACUUGGCCUGUCGAGCGAUACGGCGGGCCUCAGACCGAUCUUCUGGCAGCUCGCAGCGGAUUAGGCAGUCGAGGAACGGUGUACGCCAGUUGAGCGGUCGACCGGGCCGCUGUUCUACCUCCAUCACCUCAACUGCCAUCAAUGGUGCGUCGACGGUGUCGGUUGGCUGGGCGAGAGCGGCAUCGACGCCAGCCCCCAAGCCCAAGUCGACGGAUGGCUCGUGAAGAUCUUUCGAGAACGCGUCAGGUGGUACCGUGCCUCAGGUCGACGCGAUCUUGGCGAGUUCGUCGGCUGCCUCGUUGUAGCGUCGGGCGACAUGGACGAGCUCGAGGCCAUGGAAUUUGUCCUCGAGUCGACGGACUUCUUUGCAGUAUGCCUCCAUUUUCGGGUCGUGGCAGCUUGAAGUCUUCAUCACUUGGUCGAUGACAAGUUGGGAGUCGCCUCGGACGUCGAGGCGUCGGACCCCUAGCGCGAUGUCGAUCUUGAGACCGUUGACGAGGGCCUUGUAUUCUGCGACAUUGUUGGAUGCGGCAAAGUGAAUCCUGAUGAUGUACCUCAUAUGGACGCCCAAGGGCGAGAUGAAUAGCAGGCCGGCCCUGGCCCCCAUCUUCAUGAGUGACCUGUCGAAAUACAUCAUCCACAGCUCCGACUGGACCUGAGUUGGGGGAAGCUGGGAGUCUGUCCAUUCCGCGACGAAGUCUACCAGAGCUUGCGAUUUGAUGGCCUUGCGAGGCGCAUAAGUGAGAGUCUCACUCAUGAGCUCGACCGACCAUUUAGCUAUUCUUCCCGUGGCCUCCUUACUCUGGAUUAUCUCACCCAGGGGGAAAGAUGAGACCACCAUGAUAGGGUGGCCGAGGAAGUAGUGCUGCAGCUUACGGCGGGCGAGGAUUACGGCAUAGAUCAGCUUCUGGAUUUGGGGGUAACGUCCCUUGGUCUCUGAGAGCACCUCGCUGUCGAAAUAUACUGGCCUCUGGACUGGCAACGCAUGCCCCUCCUCCUGCCUUUCGACCACCACCACUGCACUGACAACCUAGGUCGUCAAGGCAACAUAAAGGAGCAGUGGUUCCGCAGGUUGAGGUGGGACUAUGACUGGUGCUUAGGUCAGUGUUUUCUUCAGAUUUUCGAGGGCUCCCUCGGCCUCGGGGGUCCAAGAAAAACGAUCGACCUUCUUCAGGAGUCGAUACAGCGGUAGCGCCUUUUCUCCUAAUCUCGAGAUGAAACAGCUCAGCGCCGCUAGGCAUCCCGUGACUCUCUGCACACCCUUGAUGUCUCGAAUCGGCCCCAUCCUUGUGAUGGCUGAGACUUUCUCGGGGUUGGCCUCGAUGCCGCGCUGGGAAACAAUGUAGCCCAAGAGCAUGCCUCGUGGCACACCGAAAACGCAUUUCUCGGGAUUCAGCUUGAUCUGGUUGGCGUGUAAGCAGCUAAAGCGAUCUUGAGGUCCUGGAUCAGGUCUCCUUGACGCUUUGAUUUGACGACUAUGUCGUCGACAUAGGCCUCGACCGUCGACCCUAUAUGCUUGCCAAAUACGUGGAGCAUGCAACGUUGGUAUGUGGCUCCCGCAUUUUGAAGCCCAAACGGCAUGCUUACAUAGCUGUACAUCCCGAGAGGUGUGAUGAAAGAGGUCGCGAGCUGGUCGGACUCUUUCAUUUUUAUUUGAUGGUAACCAGAAUAUGCAUCAAGAAAAGAAAGGGUUUCACAUCCCGCAGUAGAAUCAACAAUUUGAUCAAUACGUGGUAAUGGAAAGGGAAUUUUCGGACAUGCUUUAUUUAAACUCGUAUAAUCGACACACAUCCUCAUUUUCCCAUUCUUUUUCUUAACUAGUACAGGGUUUGCUAACCAGUCAGGAUGAUGAACCUCCUUGAUGAAUCCGGCCGACAAAAGCUUGUGGACCUCCUCGCCAAUGAUCUUGCACUUCUCCUCGUCGAAUCGGCAUAACCGUUGCUUCACUGGCUUGGAACCGGCUCGAAUCUGCAAGGAGUGCUCGGCGACCUCCCUCGGUAUGCCUGGCAUGUCCGAGGGACUCCAUGCAAACAUGUCGGCGUUCGCAUGGAGAAAGUCGACGAGCACAGCUUCCUAUUUGGGGCCGAGGUCGGCGCUGAUCGUCAGCACCUUGCCGUCGGAGUUGUUGGGGUCGAGCGGGAUCUUCUUGGUUCCCUCUGCCGGCUCGAAGCUGCCCGCGUGGUGUUUGGGCUCUGGAGCCUCAGCGGCCAGGGCCUCGAGUUUUGCGACGAGCUCGGUGGAGUUCUCUACCGCCUCCCCAUACUCGACGCACUCGAUGUCGCAUUCGUAAGCGUGCUCGAAGGAGGAGCUGAUAGUGAUGACGCCUUUGGGACCGGGCAUCUUCAGCUUCAAGUAGGUGUAGUUGGGUAUAGCCAUGAACUUUGCGUAGCCCGGGCGCCCGAUGAUGGCGUGGUACGUGCCCCGGAACCCGACCACCUCAAAGGUGAGGGUCUCCUUCCUGAAGUUGGCCGCCGUGCCAAAGCAGACCGGUAAGUCGAUUCGACCUACUGGCAGCGCCUUUUUCCCUGGCACAACGCCGUGGAAACCACCGGCGCUUGGUUGAAGCCGUCCCCUGUCGAUGCCAAGGAGGUCGAGGGUCUCGAGGUAGAUGAUGUUGAGGCUGCUGCCUCCGUCCAUUAGCACCUUCGAGAGCCUGGUAUUGACGAUGAUGGGGUCGACGACGAGCGGGUAGACGCCUGGGGCAACCACCUUGUCGGGGUGAUCCUCUCGGUCGAAGGUGAUGGGUGUGCUCGACCAGCUGAGGUACUGGGGCACCGCCAUUCUUGCCGCGAAGACCUCACGACGUUCCCUCUUGCGCUGCCUUGCAGUCAACUGCGUCGAGGGCCCACCAUAGAUCAUGUAGCAGUCGUGGACGACAGGGAAACCAUCGUCGUCCUUGUUGCCCUCCUUGUCACCACCCUUCUCCUUCUUGGGGUCGUCGUGCGCGUCCUUUCUGAACCCUAGGCCGUCGAAAUGCUUUUUCAGCAUACGACAGUCCUUGAGCUUGUGGUUGGCUCCUCCUUUGUGGUAAGGGCAUGGUUCCUCUAGCAUCUUAUCGAAGAUACCUCCAUAUAGGGGGGCCUUGAGGCUUCUUCCGCUCCAUGGCGGCGAUGAGGUCGUCGUCGAAGUUCUCCUGCUUGAACUGCCGCACCUUCUACUUCUUCUUGUUCUUCUUGAGCCCUCGACUAGGGGUCUCGUCUUCAUCGGCGGGCUGCUUGCCUUUCCUUCCUUCACAACUGAAGAAGGCACCGACUGCUUCCUCCCCUGCUGCGUAGUUUGCCACUACGUCCAUGAUCUCAUCGACGGUCUGAGGUCGGUUCCGACCCAAUUCCCGCACCAAGUCUCGACUGGUGGUACCAGAGACAAAUGCCAGGAUGACGUCGUGGUCGGGGAUAUGUGGCAGCUCGGUGUGCUGUUUUGAGAAGUGUCGAGCAUACUCUCAAAGAGUUUCUCACGACUUCUGCUUGCACUUGCUGAGGUCCCAUGAGUUCCUGGGCUGUAUGUAGGUCCCUUUGAAAUUACCCUCGAAGACACUAACCAAAUCGACCCAGUCGUGGAUCUGAUUUGCUGGGAGUUCCUCGAGCCACCGAUGGGCACUGUCGGAGAGGAAGAGUGGUAGCUGUCUGAUGAUGGCUCGAUCAUCUCCUCGAGCGCCUCCUAGCUGACAGGCCAGCCUAAAAUCGGCCAGCCACAACUCUGGUUUGGUCUCGCCAUUGUAUUUCGCGAUGCUGGUUGGGGGUCGGAAUGGACUGGGCAGGGGCGUGCUGCGGAUUGCCCUGCUGAACACCCGUGGGCCUGGUGGCUCGGGGGCCAUCCGGUCCUCGUCGCUGUCAUACCUCCCACCGCGGUGUGCGCUGUAACCGCGCUCUUCCGCAUCCCCAUACCGACGGCGUCGAUUCUCUUCGAUGUCAUGCCGCACGUCGUGUCGACGUUGAUUGUCGACAGGGAGGACGAGAGUGGCCUUUCUUCCUCGAGGGGGAGGCUGUUGAUGGACUGACACCUCCUUUUCGUUUUGGGGCGGCUCAUCGCGCUUUUCAGUGGCGGCUCCUCGUCGUCGAGAAGCCCAGCUUUCGGCUUGUUGAACCGCCGCUACCUGGAGCAGAGUCUGCACCUCGUCUCGAAUGCGUCGAGCUUGGGAAUUUGAUGGCUCUGGCAUGUUGCAUAGCAGCAUUGUUGCUGCCACUACGUUCUGGCCUGCUCGAGAGAAGCGGCUGACGGGUUGCUCUGGCUCCACGUCUCCGACGAUUUGCCGGUGUACCUCUCGAGCUCGCCUACAGACACUUCCGCCGGGCGGGUAAGGCAAGUCUUGUUCGAGGAUUUGCUCAAGCAGGACGAGGUGCUCACGGUCUUCGUCGAGCUUUGUCUUGAGCUCUCAUAGUUGCGCAAGCUGCACAGCCCUGUCUUCCUAUGGAAGUGGAUCGACCUAUCCGCCGUUCCCAGGCGUCCUGGGGUCUUCCCUUGCUGCGGGGGCUCGACCGCCCGCAGCUGCGUCCUGCGUCUCGUCGGUAGUUAUCUCGUCAGUAGUAAAAUAUAAUCAUCAAAUAAACAAAGAAAAGGAUCUAAAUGAAAUCAACAUCCAGACUUAGGGUUUUAUCUGACAGAAUUCCACGAGUUUUGGUGUUUGUCUAUUUCUACAGGGGGUUAUCAGGAAAUACGGAAGAAAGGCCCACACAUCGGGAUUACAUAGAGAUAUUAACGUGCCGCGCAAUUAUCUUACAUCUAGAAGACUCCAGAAGCCACGAGAACGAAGCGGAGGCGAAACGGCGCCUGGCCCUGGGCGCCCGCCCAGGAGACCAGGGCACCCGCCCCCUGUUGGAGUCCAAUCAGGACACCCUUUUGGGAUUACGCUCCACCGACCUAAAGGAUCAAGGAUAACCGUUCAAUCAAUAUCGGUUUGAUCCAACGGCCCAUAUUCACUCGAAGGGACUAUAAAACCAGAACCCGUGGCCCCUGGAGGAGAGAGCCUCUCAACCCUAAUUCAUUAUUCCUCAAGGGAGAAGAAGCCUCUGAUCAAGCCUAGAGCCACCACAUCAAUUAGACAUCUAGAUUAGCAUAGCUACAUAGGAUUAGAACUAGAAGGAGUCAAUCUUCGAUUGGUUUCCGGAUCUGUCAAGAGGAUUCUUGGUAAUUCUCUAAUUGUUCUUCUAAUUGUUCAUCAUUGUUCUUCAAUAUUAUGAAUAUGACUUUGCUCUACUUCAAUAUAUUGCUUAUGACUUUGCUCUACUUGUUUAUAUUCAAGAUUAUAUUGUUCUUAGUUUAUCAUAGUUAUAUACUUGGCUUAGUUAGAUUGGAUCUAUAUACAUGUUUAGGAUCGUAUAGCAUUUAUCUAUUGGAUCCAUGGGUAAAUGAUAGAUAUUGUGUAGGCGUGGUGCUUAUACCGUAUUUAUCUGCGAUUGUACCCAAUAUGCCAGAUCAUGGGGUAGUUCGUGAUAGUGACAGUUUCAUUGAUUCUUAUAUAGUCCCCCUCUCGUGUAUUGGGCUGGCAGAGCAACAUUAUUAUAGGGGAGUGAUUAUGAUGUUUCACAUAUUCCUUGCUAUAUCACUAUGCAUGGGCGUAGUCCUGUCUCGCAAUGAUUGCUAAGUAUACUUGCACUAACUAUGAUAAUGCUAGACUGUAUAGUUAAGAAUAACUUAGGAAAUAUUCUGUGGCUAAGUUAUGCUAAUCAGAUUAAUUAUCUUUGUCACUAUUCAUUACUUUAUAUAUCCUUUAUGUGACACUUAUCCCUGUAUGAAAGAGUUAGAUAAAUGUUCUCAAUUAUACAUGCAAUGAUAGAUGCUCAAUCUUAUAUUCCAUUCUAUAAUCAACAUUGAUGGUUACUAAUCCCUUCCCAGUGGGAAAAAUAUAAAUAACGAUACCUGGAAUACUUCCCGGUUAAAAUGCUACAUCGGUAUUUAUUUAGAUGAGCAAUUGCAUAUUUCAAUACCGCGUCUCUUAUGUCAUGCUGGGGAUGACAACUUGGCUUAAGUGGCAUGGGAGAUAGUUUUGGCAUUUUUGGCGCCGUUAUCAGAAUGAGAAAACUAAGUCUACUUUUGGUAAUGAUGUUAAGAAUACCCAGCAAUAUCCUGAAGGAAGGGAACCUCUACUACUAGAGAACAAACCUUUCAUCGAUGUGCCAAAUGAGCUUUAGUCCUAGCAUUUUUGGCGCCCGGGACAAAAGAGAUCUUUAGUCCCGGUUGGUAACGCCAACCGGGACUAACGAUCCCUCCCCAACGGCUCCGGUGUCAGGCGCUGUCGGGGAGGGACCUUUAGCCCCAGUGGAUGUUACCAACUGGGACUAAACACCUACCUUUAGCCUCGGUUUGUUCCACUAACUGGGACUAAACCUUUUGUCCCGGUCGUUGGCACCAACCGGGGCUAAAGGUAGGUGUUUAGUCCCGGUUGGUAACACCAACCAGGACUAAACCCUCCCCGCUAUAAAUUGAAUCUCCCUCCUCCCUUCUUGCACUCCCUGCCCGAGCCCGUGGUCCUUUAUUCUUGCUUGUUCUUCCAUUGUUCUUGCUUGUUAUUGCUCUCAUCUUCCGCGAUCGAUCCAUUUCAACGCUUCUACGCCGUUGUCGAUUUGUUUGAAAGGUUGCUAGCUUCAUCCUCCUAUGUUUCUCACCGCCAUAUGUAAUUUCAUGUUGGACAUAUGGCUAUUUUAAUUAUUUCAUGUUGCUAUCUCUCCAAUCAUCAUCUUCUCAUGUUUGAAUUUUUUUGAACGAUGCUAAGUGUGUGCCCGCUAGAAACUAGUGUACACAAAUCAUUACUACUAUGUAUACACAAAUCAUGUUUAGUUCUAUUAUAGAUAUUAUAGGAUAUUUUUACUUUAAUAUGGUCAUGUUCUUAUUUUAAAAUAUAUUUGUUGGACCAAACAUGGAGAGACUGGGUUAUGAUGGAAGAAGGUGAAGAAGAGCAAGCGUACCCUGACGAUGUUUUUGCUCAAUACUGCGACUUCGCGGUAUAGGACAAAGGUGAAGAAGACGGGGAUGCAGGAAACAGUAUCAUUGAUGAUGACGAUGCUCUUGGUGAUGUCAUUCACGACGUACAGAGAAAUUGCAAAAGUGCAAAGGAGAAGGCUAAAUUUGACCAAAUGCUAGAGGAUCACAAGAAGCUACUCUACCCAUCGGCCGAAGAGGGACAAAAAAAGCUAGGCACGACACUAGAGUUGUUACCAUGGAAGGCAGAGAAUGGUAUUUCUGACAAUGCAUUUGGAAAAUUACUCAAGAUCCAAAAAAAGAUGCUUCCGAAGCCUAAUGAGUUACCCACCACUACAUACGAAGCAAAAAAGAUCGUCUGUCCUUUGGGGUUACAAAUCAAAAAGAUACAUGUAUGCCCUAAUGACUACAUCCUAUACCGUGGCGAGCACGAGAAAUUAGAUGACUACCCUGUUUGCCAUGCGUCACAGUACAAGAUCUUGCGGGAUGACCCUGGCGAUGUUGAGGAUGAAGAACGUCCGAGGAAGAGAAUCCCUGCCAAGGUUAUGUGGUAUGCUCCAAUAGUUCCAUGCCUAAACAUUUGUUCAGAAAUAAGGAGCAUGCAAAGUUGUUGCGAUGGCACAAACAAGACCGUAAGGUGGACAACAUGUUGAGACACCCUGCAGAUGGUUCUCAGUGGAGAGGAAUCGAUAGUGAAUUCCAAGACUUUGCGGAGGACGCAAGAAACCUAAGGUUCGCAUUGAGUACGGAUGGAUUUAAUCCUUUUGGGGACCAGAGCUCUAGUCAUAGCACCUGGCCCGUUACUCUAUGUAUCUACAACCUUCCUCCGUGGUUAUGCAUGAAGCAGAAGUUCAUUAUGAUGCCGGUGCUCAUCCAAGGUCCGAAGCAACAUGGCAACGACAUCGAUGUUUACCUGAGGCCAUUGGUUGAGGAACUCCAGCUUCUAUGGAGCAAACCAGGUGUGCGUAUGUGGGAUGAGUACAAACAGGAAGCAUUCGACCUACGAGCAUUAUUGUUCAUGACAAUCAAUGAUUGGCUAGCUCUAAUCAAUCUUUCAGGAUAGACAAACAAGGGAUAUAAUGCUUGCUCCCAUUGCUUUGGUGACGUUCAAGCUAUCUAUGUGAAAAAAUGUCGAAAGGUUGUGUAUCCUGGCCAUCGUUGAUUUCUUGCUAAGAACCACCAGUUGAGAAAGAAAGGCGAACAUUUUAAAGGUAUGAGAGAACACUGGUCCAAGCCAUGCAACUGAGAUGGGGUAGAGGUAUUCGAGAUGGUCAAAGAUUUGAAUGUACUAUUUGGAAAGGGAGAAGGCAGCAAACCUGUUCCGAAAGACACUUCGGGGCGUGCCCCAAUGUGGAAGAAAUAGUCAAUAUUUUGGGAGCUACCAUAUUGGAAACACCUUGAGGUCCGCCACUCCAUCGACAUGAUGCACCUGACAAAGAAUCUUUGUGUCAAUCUCCUAGGGUUUAUGGGUGUGUUUGGAAAGCCUAAGGAUACCCUUGAGGCUCGAGAGGACUUAAAGCGCAUGAAAGAACGAGACAACCUGCAUGCAAAGCAGACAGAUGAUGGACGCCAGUAUUUUAAGACCUGCUAGCUACACUCUUAGCAAUGAGGAGAAGGAAAUCAUGUUUGAGUGCCUAAGCAGCAUCAAGGUCCCAUCUGGGUUCUCCUCCAACAUAAAGCUUAUAAUAAAUGUGCCAGAGAAAAAAUUUGUCAACUUAAAAUCGCACGACUGCCACGUGAUUAUGACACAACUGCUUCUGGUUGCCUUAAGAGGAAUUCUACCUCCACAUGUACGUCUGGCCACCGUGAAGUAGUGUGCAUUCCUCAAUGCAAUUUCUCAGAAGGCAAUAAAUCCUCUUGAUCUAGCUACUCUACAGAACGAUGUAGUUCAAUGUCUUGUCAGCUUUGAGUUGGUGUUUCCUCCAUCUAUCUUUGAUAUCAUGACACAUCUCCUAGUUCACCUGGUCAAAGAUAUUAAUAUCCUGGGUCCUAUCUUCCUACACAACAUGUUUCCCUUAGAGAGAUUUAUGGGUGUACUGAAAAAAUAUGUUCACCAGCGGGGUCGGCCAGAAGGAAGCAUCAUCAAGGGAUAUGGGAUAGAGGAGGUCAUUGAGUUCUGUGUGGACUUCAUUCCUGAUCUUGACCCGAUUGGUCUUCCUGAAUCAAGGUAUGAGGGGAGACUCGGUGGAAAAGGGUACACUAGGAAAGAAAACAUAUAUCAGCCAGAGUGAUGAUUUAUUCCAUAAAGUGCACUACACAGUCCUUCGAAACUCCAUUGUGGUGGAACCCUAUAUUGAGGAACAUAUGGAUUUUGUAUGAUCCGAGAAUCCUAGAAAGAAUGAGACUUGGGUUAUGCGUUAUCACAUGGAAACAUUCGGUGACUGGUUGUGAAAAAAAUGCCAAGGUGAUAAAGAUAUUGUAGAUGAACUUUAUUUGUUGGCUAGGCAACCAGCGUGGCACGUCAUCACGUACAAAGGAUACGAGAUAAAUGGAAAUACAUUUUACACCGUAACACAAGAUAAAAAGAGUACAAACCAAAACAGUGGUGUCCGUGUGGAUGCCACUGACAUGAAUGGGGACAGGCACACAUAUUAUGUUCGUAUAGAGGAGAUUUGGGAACUAGACUAUGCACAUAAUUUUAAAGUCCCUUUAUUCCGAUGCCAAUGGGUGAAGAUGAAAUGAGGGGUAUUGAUCGAUAAGGAGUACGGAAUGACAACAGUGGACCUCAACAAUAUUGGAUAUACAAACGAUCCAUUCGUCCUUGGUACUAAGGUGAAUCAAGUGUUCUAUGUGAAAGACAUGUCUACAAAACCCAAGAGAGGGAAACAAGAUGAGAAAAACACAAACGAGCCAAAGCGCCACAUCGUUCUUACAGGGAAAAGAAACAUCGUGGGAAUUGAAGACAAGUUAGACGUGUCAGAGGAUUAUGAAAAGGAUGAACGGAUCCCACCCUUCUGUGUGGGCAAAGACCCAAGCAUCAUGCUCGCUGUAGAGGACACUCCAUGGUUACAGAAUAUUCAUAACCAAGGGCAUUACGUUAAGAAAAAUUUUACCAUUGUGCUAGCUUGAUAAUGGUAGUGAUUUGUACUUGACAUCUUGUGUAAUAUAAUUGUAACAUUAUGUGUAAUAUAAUUCUAACAUCUUGAUAAUGUGGAUUUUGAACUACACUUUGCCAGCACUUUGUGAAAUGCAAAAAUGGUCUAUAUAUGAAAUGUAGAUCUUGAUGAGUGGAGCAAUAUUGGUAUUCAUGAGUUUUCCAUUUGAGGCCAUCCGUGGUUCCAAAAAUUAGCGUUUUGCUAUGAAUUCUUUCAAAUUUCCAAAUUGAGUGGUCCAACUUUUUCAAAUGAAAAUGUGACCAUUAGAGAAAAUGUAGACCCUGAUGAGUGGAACAAACUUUGUAUUCAUGAGUUUUCCAUUUGAGGCCAUCUAUGGCUCGGUCAAAGUGUGUGUUUGUGAAACCCACUGUUUUGACUUUGGUCAAACUUGGUCAAAUGACCCAUCUGAGGACUUCAAAUGGAAAACUAUUGGAUACCAAGUUGUUAGAGCUCAUCAACACCUACAUUUCAUACAUGGACCAUAUUUUCAUCCGGAUAAAUUUGAUCGAGUCCCAGUCACAUGUUUUCAAAUUCGAAGACGGGCUUUGGUCAAACUAGGUCAAACGAUGGAGAAAAUGACUUGGAAUGAAAAUCUUUUGAAUACCAAGUUGUUAGAGCUCAUCAAUAUCCAAACUUUUUAUAUAGACCAUUUUUCUAUUUGGAAAAGUUUAUGUAAACAAUACUCACCAAAACUUGAAUCUCACACAAACUAUAUGAAACUAUACGUGGGAAGUGUGGAUUUUGAACUACACUUUGCCAACACUUUGUUAAUGCAAAAAUGGUCUAUAUAUGAAAUGUAGAUCUUGAUGAGUGGAGCAAUAUUGGUAUUCAUGAGUUUUCCAUUUGAGGCCAUCCAUGGUUCCAAAAAUUAGCGUUUCGCUAUGAAUUCUUUCAAAUUUCCAAAUUGAGUGGUCCAACUUUUUCAAAUGAAAAUGUGACCAUUAGAGAAAAUGUAGACCCUAAUGAGUGGAACAAACUUUGUAUUCAUGAGUUUUCCAUUUGAGGCCAUCUAGGGCUCGGUCAAAGUGUGUGUUUGUGAAACCCACUAUUUUGACUUUGGUCAAACUUGGUCAAAUGACCCAUCUGAGUACUUCAAAUGGAAAACUUUUGAAUACCAAGUUGUUAGAGCUCAUCAAGACCUACAUUUCAUACACGGAUCAUAUUUUCAUCUGGAUAAAUUUGAUCGAGUCCCAUGCACAUGUUUUCAAAUUCAAAGACGGGCUUUGGUCAAACUUGGUCAAACGAUGGAGAAAAUGACUGCGAAUGAAAAUAUUUUGAAUACCAAGUUGUUAGAGCUCAUCAAUAUGCAAACUUUUUAUAUAGACCAUUUUUUCAUUUGGAAAAGUUUAUGUAAACAAUACUCACCAAAUCUUGAAUCUCACACAAACUAUAUGAAACUAUACGUGAGAAGUGCGGAUUUUGAACUACACUUUGCCAGCACUUUGUCAAAUGUAAAAAUGGUCUAUAUAUGAAAUGUAGAUCUUGAUGAGGGGAGCAAUAUUGGUAUUCAUGAGUUUUCCAUUUCAGGCCAUCCAUGGUUCCGAAAAUUAGUGCUUCGCUAUGAAUUCUUUCAAAUUUCAAAAUUGGGUGGCCCAAACUUUUUCAAAUGAAAUUGUGACCAUUAGAGAAAAUGUAGACCUUGAUGAGUGGAACAAACUUUGUAUUCAUGAGUUUUCCAUUUGAGGCCAUCCAGGCCUCGGUAAAAGUGUGUGUUUGUGAAAUCCACUAUUUUGACUUUGGUCAAACUUGGUCAAAUGACCCAUCUGAGGACUUCAAAUGGAAAACUAUUGAAUACCAAGUUGUUAGAGCUCAUCAACACCUACAUUUCAUACAUGGACCAUAUUUUCAUCCGGAUAAAUUUGAUCGAGUCCCAGUCACAUGUUUUCAAAUUCGAAGACGGGCUUUGGUCAAACUAGGUCAAACGAUGGAGAAAAUGACUUGGAAUGAAAAUCUUUUGAAUACCAAGUUGUUAGAGCUCAUCAAUAUCCAAACUUUUUAUAUAGACCAUUUUUAUAUUUGGAAAAGUUUAUGUAAACAAUACUCACCAAAACUUGAAUCUCACACAAACUAUAUGAAACUAUACGUGGGAAGUGUGGAUUUUGAACUACACUUUGCCAGCACUUUGUUAAUGCAAAAAUGGUCUAUAUAUGAAAUGUAGAUCUUGAUGAGUGGAGCAAUAUUGGUACUCAUGAGUUUUCCAUUUGAGGCCAUCCAUGGUUCCAAAAAUUAGCGUUUCGCUAUGAAUUCUUUCAAAUUUCCAAAUUGAGUGGUCCAACUUUUUCAAAUGAAAAUGUGACCAUUAGAGAAAAUAUAGACCCUAAUGAGUGGAACAAACUUUGUAUUCAUGAGUUUUCCAUUUGAGGCCAUCUAGGGCUCGGUCAAAGUGUGUGUUUGUGAAACCCACUGUUUUGACUUUGGUCAAACUUGGUCAAAUGACCCAUCUGAGUACUUCAAAUGGAAAACUUUUGAAUACCAAGUUGUUAGAGCUCAUCAAGACCUACAUUUCAUACACGGAUCAUAUUUUCAUCUGGAUAAAUUUGAUCGAGUCCCAUGCACAUGUUUUCAAAUUCAAAGACGGGCUUUGGUCAAACUUGGUCAAACGAUGGAGAAAAUGACUGGGAAUGAAAAUAUUUUGAAUACCAAGUUGUUAGAGCUCAUCAAUAUCCAAACUUUUUAUAUAGACCAUUUUUCCAUUUGGAAAAGUUUAUGUAAACAAUACUCACCAAAUCUUGAAUCUCACACAAACUAUAUGAAACUAUACGUGAGAAGUGUGGAUUUCGAACGACACUUUGCCAGCACUUUGUCAAAUGCAAAAAUGGUCUAUAUAUGAAAUGUAGAUCUUAAUGAGUGGAGCAAUAUUGGUAUUCAUGAGUUUUCCAUUUGAGGCCAUCCAUGGUUCCGAAAAUUAGCGUUACGCUAUGAACUCUUUCAAAUUUCAAAAUUGAGUGGUCUAAUCUUUUUCAAAUGAAAAUGUGACCAUUAGAGAAAAUAUAGGUCUUGAUGAGUGCAACAAACUUUGUAUUCAUGAGUUUUCUAUUUGAGGCCAUCCAGGGUUCCAAAAUCUAUCUUACAGCUUUUGAAAAUUUAAAUUUCAAAUUUAUACAAUAAAUGUCGCGCAUUUGUAUAAAUAUUAUUAAAGAAAUAAAAGUUUAACGUCUAAAUGACCCAAAAACCAAGUAUGAAAUAAAAGCCAAUAAUUUUUUAAAAUUUAAUUGCCAUUAUAUUUUUGCAUUAACACAAUAUUCAUUAUAAAUAACAUUAUUUUUGAAUAAUAUGAAAUAUUUGAAAAUCAAUUCUGUUUAGAAUUUUUAUACUGAAGAGUAGAGCAGAAUAAAAUUAAUAUGUAUUUUUUCAACAAUUUUAUUAGAUUUAUUUAAUUUAUAAUGCAUUUAACAAUGUAAAAGGGAAAAAAGGAAAAACUAAAUUAUGGCGCCUAAACUGGCGCCAUAAUUUGGUGAAAACUCUUUGUCUCGGGCCGAGCUAGCGCCCGGGACUAAAGGGUCUUUAAUCUCGGUUCCAGCGAGGAACCGGGACUAAGCUCGGCCCGGGACUAAAGGUGCCCUGCCAUAUAAAGGGCAGAGCCCUUCUUCCUCCUGCCCACCGCGCCCGCGUCGAUCUUACCGUAACCGCCGCCGACCCGUCGUCUUCUCUGCCGCCGCUCCGUCGAUCUCGUCCUUGCCGCCGUCGUCCUUGCUCCGAGCGCCGCACCGAGGACGCCUCGCCGUACGCCGCGCGCCCACCGCCUCUACUCCCUCUCUCUUUCUCUCUUUCUCGUUCUCGCGCGCGCCGCCGCCACCUCGAUCGGGAACCCGCGAGCUCACCAACCGCCGCCACGCGCGGCUGCGCCCUUCGCGCCCGACAACGGCAGCCGGCGGGGGGCAGUGGCGCGGGCCCCAUGCCGUACGCCGUCGGCCGCGCGGCCACAUGCACCCACACCGGCGGCGUCGCCCGAGCCCCCCGCGCCGCUAAGACAGAGAUCGAGAAAGAAAAAAAAUGAAAAAAAUGAAAAAAAAUAUGAAAUAACAAAGAAAUAACUUUAACUAAAUAUAUAGUAAAAAAUAUUGAUAUUUAUAAUACAUAGUUAGGCCUUGUUUAGUUCUAAAAAAUUUUAGGAAAUCGACACUGUAGCAUUUUUGUUUGUAUUUGACAAAUAUUGUCCAAUCAUUGACUAACUAGGCUCAUGCAUACGUAUCGUUCUAAAAAAGUUUCGUAUCGUUAAUUCCGACCAAACUGUGCAAUUAGUUUUUAUUUUCGUCUAUAUUUCAUACUCCAUGCAUGCAUACGUUUAAAGAUUUGAUGUGACGGAGAAUCUGAAAAAUUUUGCAAAAUUUUAUGGGAACUAUGCCUUAGUAUCAUUGAAAAGAUCUUUCGGUCUAGUUUUUUAACAAAUUUAUUUAGAGACUUGGUUUUUGUUUUCUUCUAUAUUUAGUGCUUCAUGCAUGUGCCAGAAUAUGUAAAUGUGAUAUAAUAUUCGUUCCCUCUUUCUUCCUUCUUCCAGAUCGACGUCUCUCUGUCGUCGUCACCGAAGUCCCCGUCGAGUCUCCGCGCCGACUGCCAUCUCUCCGCCGUCUCACCAUUUCAAACUACACGUAUGUCUAGAGAUGGAUCUAUUAGUGGUACAAUUAGUGCUAUAAUUAGUGGUACAAUUAGUGGUAUAAAUUAGUGGUAUAGUUAUGAUAUAUUUAAUUGUUAGCAAAUGAUAUACACUAAACCCUAAACCUAAGCCCUAAGCCCUAAACCCUAAACCCUAAACCCUAAGGAGUAUGUGCCACCCUCAGAAGGUACGAGGACUUGGUACGCAAAUAUACAAGUUGCACGAGUACUACUUGAGAGUCAGCUCAAAACAUAAGGAAGAAGAAUUGAUUGCCGUCCGAGUCUGCGACCGACACUACUUCGGUGGAGAUGACGUCAUACGGAUAGAUUUUAGUGAAGUACACCAGCUUCUCCAUAUGAAUGCUCUCAACAAAUCUCUCAUGAGCUGCUACUGUCUGUAAGUGAUUCUUCCUUUUAAUUAUUAAUCCCAUUAUAGCAUAUGUAUGUAUUCAUAAUAACUACGAUCACGAUGUGUAGACACAUGAUGAGAGAACAAAGAUUGAAAAAAGACAAUCGAAUUGGUUUCAUCGAUCCAUAUGUCGUGUACAAGGACACCAAGACUAAAGAUCCAUUGAAUCUGAAGCCUAAGGAAAUAGGGAAGAACCUCCGGAGGUUCUUUUAUAAUCAAAGCCAUACAGAGAAGAUACUCUUCCUUUACAAUAUGGGGUAAGUGUUGUGUUAUAUCAUGUCUUAGUUAGUCCGGCAUUAAGAUAUAUUUAUAUAUAAGUUGACACUAAACAAAUGCAGAGAUUAUUGGAUACUCAUUGAGAUUAAGAUCAUGGAACAAAAAAUAAAUGUGUGGGACUCAAUGAAAAAGACCUGGCACUCUAUCAAGGCAUAAUAGACAUUGUUGACGGUCCUUAAUGCUCACAUUUAACUGUCAACUAAUCAUGGAAAAGGACCUAUAUGCAACCAACACCUAAAAUUAGGGUUUCAUCUCACAGAAUUCCACGAGUUUUGGUGUUUGUCUAUUUCUGCAGGGGGUUAUCAGGAAAUAUGGAGGAAAGGCCCACAUGUCGGUUGUAACACCCUAGGUGUUAAACAUGCACUUAGUCUCAUCAACUUAUACAUAAGCAUUCUCAUCAAGCAUAGCAUCACAUGAGCAUGUCAUUCAUUCAAAGUGUGAUUUUAUGUGCUUUAUUUUAUGUGAAUUAAAUGUGGUAAAAAUAUUAUGCUUGCUUCUAAAUUCUUGAAUUGCCCAAAUUAGGUUAAAAUAUGUGUUAAAAGAUUUAAGAGUAAUUUUGUGAUAUUUUUGGAGCUAUAGAAAUUAAGAAAUUGAUUUUAUACAAAAAUUCCCAAAAUAGAUUUAUUUGAAAACCUAUAAAUAGUUUUGAGUUGUAUUUCAAAAUCUAUUUGGAAUUUGUGAAUUCAACCUAAAGAAAAGUUGUAGGGUUUUUGAUUUAGAACAACUUUUGUUUUGGAAGAAAAAGGUGAAAAUGAUUUUAAAAUAGUCCAAAUGAAUUUAGAAAGAGUUUGAGAAAAGAAAUUCUAAAAAAAUGGAAAAGGGAAAGGGGGGCGCUAGCAGGCUGCGGCCUCACUUCUGGCCCGCUAGCCGAAGCCGGCCCAGCCCGCCCGCGCCGUGCCGCCGUGGCACGCCGGUAGAGCUCGGCCGCCGCGUGGCGAGCAUGCGGCAGCCUGGAUGCGCCCCGGUCGGCCACCAGGAGCGCCCGACCGCCUCCGUCUCUGCCUCCGCUACCAUUUGCGAUCCUCUACUCGCGCUCUUGCCUUUCGCUCGCCCGCGCGCCGCAGCUGCCGCUCCGCCGCGCGCCAUCGUCGCCGACGACUUGGAGCUUCUCUCUCAGCCAGCUCCGGCCUCAUCCUUCCUCUCCGCGACCGCCAACAGCUCCGCCUCGUCAUUCCGCGUCGCGUGCUCGCGCUCAACCGCACUCGGUGAGUCCCCGCGCGCCCGGGAGAGCUCACCAGAGUGAGUCGGGACUCCGGUGACCUUUCGUUCCGCGUUGUUCUCCCCCUCUACUCCGCCAUUUCUUGCGCUUUUAGGUGUGUUAGCUUCGCCUCGGCCUCGCGAACCGAUUCCGGCCGUUCGAGCACGCUCUACCGCCGCGUGGUGGCCGGACCGCGGCGAGCAGUGCCGCCGUUCCACCAUGGCCGGUGGCGAGCUUGCUCCCAUCCGUUGCCGCGGAAGUAGGUUCGCUGAGUUCGCCUUGAGCCGUAGAACGCGUAGAGCCACUUGGUUCGCCGAGAGAGGCCGCCGACGGUGAGCUCCGCCUCGCCGGAGUCGCCCUCUCUCUGUGUUCUGGCCAGCGGGCCCGGCUAUCAGGCGGGUCCGUCUCGUCAGUGGCCGCGGGUGCACUGCACCGGGUGCACCUAGCUGGUCCCGGGGGUGGAUUUGAAUUGAUUUUCAGAAAAUGCUUUCCGGAAAAUAGUUUAAAUGAUAUAAAAUCCAUAUCUUGAGAUAUAUAGCUCCAAAAAUGAUGAAAUAAAUUGUGGAGUGUUCUAUAAUUCUAGAUCUACAGUUUAGUAUAGUUGCAUGUCUUGUUUAAACAACUUUUCUGUGCAAAUAUAUUUAAUCCAUGUUUUUGCUGAGAAUUGGAAAAUGCAUAGUAAUUAAAAUAUAGUUCAGAAAAAUAUGAAACUUGUUUUGUUGGCUCUGCAUGGAUGAUUAGGCUCUGGGAAAAUUAUGUUACACAUUAUUUGCUGUAUGAAUUAAUUUAUUGUGAUUUAAAUGCUUGCAUGGCAAUGGUUUAUGAUUUUUAAUAAAUAAUUGGAUCAUGCAAUUAAACUACAAAUUUUUGUGGGUAUUUCUUAUGUUAUUAAGUAAAUUAUAAAAAUAUGAAAUCUGCUAUUUGACACUUAUACCACAGUAGGGUAUUUAUACAUGAUUAUAUGGAUUAAUCUUGUGAUUUUUGUAGCCCAAAAUAAAUGUCCAAAUAUUAUGAAAAACUUAUGGUAGACUUUAUGGUUGACUAGUAGUCUACUCUAAUUUUUGUGGAAUUUUUUGUUAAACAGAGAUAUAUGUUACUUUGUAGGUCCAAGAGUGAUUAAAUAAAAUAAGAGUGGUUAUGCAUGAAUUAAAUAGAAUAAAAGAUUGUUUGGUGUAUCUUUGAAGCAUCUUGUGAGCUUGCUGGUUAACCAUGAAGACAACUUGUAGAAGAGAAUGCAAUAUAUGCUUAGUUCGAUUGUUUAUUCUUGGGUGAUGUUGACUACCUCGUAAAAGUGACCACUUAUAUCAUCUAUACACCAUGUCAUAGUCAUCUGUUACCCACUUGCAUAAGCAUUGUAUCUCGGGCAUCUCGCACUCCACUCAUGAGCACACAUGCAUCAUACAGGCUCGCAGGAGAACGAGGUGGGACCCGAGGAGCAAGAGGAGACCCUGGAGCAGGAACCUCUGGGAGGACUAGAGACCGGAGAGGAGCUGUAGGAGUGCCCGGACCACAGACCGAGCACGUUUGAGAAAGGCAAGCCCCCGAGCAUUCUAAGUCUCCCUAUUCUCGCUAACUUAAAUGAGAUAUUAUGUUUGUUCUACUAUGUUGCAUUUAAGUGAUAGGAAUUGCUUGAUACCGUUGAUGCAUAAGUACUCCUUGAUAUCACCACUUGUUUAUCUACCUUGUCCUAUGUAGAUAGGCACAGAGUCCAUGCUUAGUUUGCUUAGUCCGGUAGAAGUUGGGUGAUUUCCUGUCACCUGCGAGAUAUAGGUGGACACCUGUUUGAUUAGCUGUGAUUGCUAUGAGGAUGAAUAACCAAGUGUGGAAAGGAAUUUGAGACCGGGCAGGGUCUUGUGGUGGGUUGAUCAUAGUGCCCCUGCCUGUGUCGAUUAAGGACCGAUCGUUGACGGCCCUCUUGUCAUGUUGAACGCAUGCCCCACACUUAGCUGGAAGGAUAAGUCGUUCCGACCGCGAAGCCUGAGCACUAUCUGGGCCGGGAAUCGGCCCGAUGUACGCGCUGUAUUGGUGAUGGUUGAGGAGAACGACGAGGGCGCAGCGCACAACCUUUGUAUACGUUGGAUACCUCGGCUGCCGGAACGGUCCUCGGGUACGGGCGGUGCCUGUCGAACCCGCGAAUUGGUCGUGGAUAAUGCAACACGGUGAUCUGUAGCUCACUUGAUCAGUGUGUGUGGUUUGUGUGGGGAAUAAACUCACCAGCUGGUCAGAAAUCGAUUCGAAUCGCCAUCACUCCUGGAUAGUGAGCACUUGACAUGAGCCCUGUCCUCGUAGUAAGGACUAUGGAACAUUUGGGUUAUGAUGAUAAAUGAUUUAUGAAUGCUAUGAUGAGGUACCAUCAUAUUACUACACUUGCUUGUAAUAGUACAGGUGCAAACCUAGAUAAUAGGUACGAUAUUAUCAAACUUGAGCUAAUGAAAAGAAGAAAGGUCUCUAGGCUAUGUUUUAGCGGAAUAAUGCUUUUAUGAAAAGAGUCUCAGCUUCCCCACCAUACAGCCUUCAUGAUCCUUGAAGAGUCUUGAUUUUUGGUUUAUGACGGGUAAGUCUAGCUGGGUACAUUCUCGUACUUAGGGUUCUAUUCCCGUGUUGUUUUGCAGAUGGUCAAAUGUAUUAUGGUUAUUGCAUCCUCUGCUUGUACCCAGCAAUGGGUGACGACUAGACCAAGGGCGAUGGUCACUCUCGCUUCUCUUUUGCUUUUGUGGGAAUAACCGAACUAUGGCACUGUAUCAAACUAAAUGUGUGUGUUUUAUUUUCAAACUAUGAAGCUUCCGCUACGUGAGAACUUGGUUUGUAAUAAUUUUAAGUACUCUGAUGUAUUUGAUGAAUGUUGUGAACUGGAUGUAAUUGUGAAUGGUGACCGCUGAACUUAUUACGAUCUUGGCUGUAUGUAUGAUUUGUGGUUUGAAAUCCUUCGAGAUUUCAUGGACUACCGGGAUUAUAUGGGCUUAAGCUCGGUGGUUUGACUGUGCAAAUGGUCACUAUCAAGCUUAAUCUCUUAUAAUUUGGGCGGUUCUGUUACAUCGGGUUUACACAGAGAUAUUAACGUGUGCGCCAAUUUUCUAUCAUCUAGAAGACUUCAGAAGCCAUGGGAACGAACGGGAGGCCGAGCGGGCCCGAGGGCUGGGUGCGCGCCCUCCCCCCUUCGGCAACUGCCCUGCCCUGGUGACCAAUCAGGGCAGGUCUCGCGGAUCGUGCUCCAUCGCCUUUGAGGAUCAAGGAAAACCGUGCGAUUAAGGUCGGUUUGAUCCGACGGCCCUCGUUCAUUUGGAAGGGCUAUAUAAGCAGGCCCCCUUGCCCCUGGAGAACAUAUCACUUCUACAGAAUCAAAGCUAGGGUUUCAAUUAUUCAUCCAAGUAGAGAGGAUCCCUCUAGUUCAUCUAGUUCUAGUUCAUAUAGUUCUAGUUAUAGUUAGUUCUAGGUUUAAUCUAGAAAAUAGGGAGAGGGAAGAGGAGAGCGGAGGAGGAGCCGGAUCUGUCGGAUCGUCCUCAACAUUGUACUUUUGCAGCAACUGGUUCGUUCUUCAUCGUUCUCCAAGUUCUUCAAUUCAUAAUUCCUGAGUUCUUCAAUUACUUUUAUUUACAUUCAAGUUAUUUUUUGGAUUCCCGCUUGCAUCAAGUGCUCUGUUCUUUAUAAUGCUAGAGUAGUAAUUAAUAGAUUAGACGUGGUGUUUAGUCUUGCAAUUACCUGGAAUUGCACCCAAUCCUGCGGAUUGUUGUGGUAGCCCUAGGGUAGUGACAGCCCUAACGGUCGACGUAUUCCACCUCGUUCGAAUCAGUGUUUGUAGGACCAUAGUCAGAGCUUCCUAGCCCCCUUCUCAUCUCUUUCUGUGGUCAGUGUUCUGAUGUCCCAAAAUAAAUAAUCUUUGAAGUAAUUCUUGAUUCUUAGAUCAACUAGAGAACUCUUAGGAAACUUCCUCUCUUCCCACCAAAAAUAAUUAUAUAGUUAUCCUUCGGAGAUCUUGAAUCUUAAUUAGUACACUCACGUUCCCUAUGGAAAAUCGAUACCCUAGAAUACUCCUGGGUGAAAGCUACAUCGAUAUCCGUGCGCUUGCGGAUUUUUCUGUUUGCGUUUAAAAUACCCAACAAGCUUUCUGGCGCCGUUGUCGGGGAACGAUAGUUGUGCUAGUUUCGAACCAAGUCAUCCGUGUAUCCUUUUUCUUUUCCUUUUUUUACCACACUCACCUUACAAUUUUCACCACACCACAUGGAUUUCACUCCUAUCUAUAAAUUAUUUGCUCCAAAGGGCGAGUUAUUAGAGCCACCACCAUCAUCACAUCCAAUUCUUACAGAUGGUUACGACCUCGGCCUUGAUCUAGUAGCGAUGAUUCAGGAGCAACCCGAAGUAGAUGAAUAUCCAUACACCCACGUUAGAGAAUUCGAGCAGUUGUGCUCUUGCCAAUCUAUUUCCGGCAUGACACAAGAAACCCUUAAAUGGAAAUUAUUUCCGUUCUCCCUUUUGGGUAGAGCAAAAAAGUGGUAUGCUCAUUUUGUAGGAGGCGUUAAUGGAAAUUUGGAUGAACUUCAGGACAACUUUUGUCUCACUUUCUUCCCACUUUUUCGAAACGCUGACCUUAGAAUCAAAAUUCUUACAUUCAAACAAAGAGAGAAGGAAACUUUAGGAGCAGCUUGGGCUAGGUUCACAAACCUUACCAAUUCUUGUCCAAACCUUUACCUGCCUGACCAUGUGCUAUACUACCAUUUUUAUCGUGGUCUAAACAAGGAAGCUGCUCUUCACCUCGACAUUGCUUCAGGAGGCUCAUUCUCACACAAACUCAUAGAUGAGGGGAGAGCUAUCCUAGAGAGAAUCCUUGAAAAUACACCUUACACAGGCAUUUAUGAUGAGUUUCCUGAAGAAGAAAAAGAAGUCGAGCCUAAUCCUAAACCAAAAGAAGAGGAACUUGCAACUGAGUUAGAAAUUCCACCUGACCCAUCUAUUAAUUUGGCUGUAGAGAAACCUCCUGAUAAGGGAAUGCAAAACCAACUAACGGAUAAUGAACCACCACCCUUAGAGCAUCCCUUUGAAUUCGAGGAAGAUCUUUUUGAAGAUUAUGGAAACACCUCAAAUUUUCCUAUCCAAACACGACCUCUAGCAGGGACCACUCAAUCCGUUCUAAGAGUAGAAUCUGUUGACAUAGAACACAUCAAAAGCCUUUCGGCUAUUCUGAGUUAUGAAUGGCUAACAGAAGUAGAGCUGUCACCUAAGGUAGCUCGGAUCAUCACUCCGUCAACAAUUCUUCUGUGCCAAAUUAGAGGGUCCGCUAGCAAGGUCCACUACAAUCCAUAUGUUGGGAUAAAUGUAAUUUCCAAGGAGUUAGCUGACACUCUUUAUCCCAACGAGUCCAUAACCCCAUCUCAAAAACUUUUACAAAGUCCAUCUAGAUUAAUUCUAGAAAGCUAUGGGGUAUUAAGGGCAGUUCCUAUUAGAAUCAAGGACUCUGGAAUAUGUCUAGAUUUUCACAUUUUUGACAUACGAGAGAUUCCUCUCUUGAUUGGCGGACCAAUCAUGAAACUUCUACAAGAACAACCACAACGAGGUCAUUUAGACUUCAAGGAUGGGAAUUCCACUAUUGUUGUUCCUCUUGCCAGAUCAAUUAACACGAUAGUGGAACCCAAACUUGAAUCAGAUCCUAUGGAGGAGAUCUUAAUGCUGACUCAAGAGGAGAUGGCCCAACCAUUCUUGAAUCAUGAACACUUUGUUCAAGAAGAAGAAGAGUUGGUAGAACCCAUUGAGCUAGACAAAAAUGAACAACCUUCACCUCCUUCGAUAGAGUUCUUCCUUCUGGCCUUAGAUAUGUCUUUUUGCACAACAACCCAAAAACUCCAGUAAUUAUCAGUGACAAGCUUUCCGAUUAUGAAACACAACAACUUGUCACUGUUCUUGAAAGGCAUAGAUCAGCAUUUGGCUACUCUCUCGAAGAUCUCACGAGCAUUAGUCCCAUUCUCUGCACUCAUCGUACCCCUAUUGAUCCUAAUUUUACACCUUCAAGGGAACCACAACGGAGACUUAACAAUGCUAUGCGAGAGGUUGUUAAGAAAGAGGUCCUCAAACUCUAUCGUGCUGGGAUUAUUUAUCAUGUGCCACAUAGUGAGUGGGUUAGCCCUGUCCAAGUAGUGCCAAAGAAAGGAGGAAUGACGGUGGUUUCGGAAUGAGAAGAAUGAACUCAUCCCUCAACGAAUUGUCACUGGGUGGCGUAUGUGUAUUGACUAUCGAAAGCUCAACAAGGCUACAAAGAAAUAUCACUUUCUGUUACCCUUCAUUGAUGAAAUGUUGGAACGGCUUGCAAACCACUCUUUUUUUGUUUCCUUGAAGGUUAUUCUGGAUAUCACCAAAUCCCAAUCCACCUAGAUGACCAAGAAAGGACUACCUUUACAUGCCCGUAUGGAACUUAUGCAUAACGACGAAUGUCGUUCGGAUUGUGUAAUGCUCCAGCUUCUUUCCAACGGUGCAUGAUGUCUAUUUUCAAGGACAUGAUUGAGAAGAUCAUGGAGGUUUUCAUGGAUAAUUUUUCCGUCUAUGGCAAAACCUUCGAUCAUUGUUUGGAGAAUUUAGAUAGAGUCUUGCAGCGAUGUGAAGAAAAGCACUUAAUCCUGAACUGGUAGAAAUGCCAUUUUAUGGUUUAGGAAGGAAUAGUGCUAGGACAUAAAGUGUCUGAACGUGGUGUAGAGGUGGACAAAGCAAAGAUUGAAGUUAUUGAAAAACUUCCACCUCCUACGAAUAUGAAAGGAAUACGUAGCUUUUUGGGACAUGCAGGGUUCUAUAGACGCUUUAUCAAGAACUUCUCUCAAAUUGCUAGACCCCUAACUAGUCUCCUAGCUAAGGAUGCACCUUUCAUCUUUAGUGAUGAGUGUCAUGAAUCUUUUCAAACUCUUAAGAAAGCACUCAUCUCAGCCCCAGUUAUCCAACCACCUGAUUGGAAUCUUCCUUUCGAGAUCAUGUGUGAUGCUAGUGAUUUUGAGGUUGGUGCCGUUUUAGGACAAACCAAGGAUAAAAAGCAUUAUGCCAUAUCCUACGCUAGCAAAACCUUGUCUGGACAACAGCUCAAUUACACUACAACUGAAAAAGAGCUUUUGGCUGUUGUCUUUGCUAUAGACAAGUUUAGAUCUUACUUAGUGGGGGCAAAGAUAAUCAUCUAUUCAGACCAUGCUGCUCUCAAGUACCUCCUCACUAAGAAAGAUGCUAAGCCUCGUCUAAUUCGAUGGAUUCUUCUACUCCAAGACUUUAACAUAGAAAUCCGAGAUAGGAAGGGAGUAGAGAAUUCCAUAGUCGAUCACUUGUCUAGGCUUCAAUAUAAGGAAACACAUGAUGAGCUUCCCAUAAAUGACUACCUAAGGGAUGACACCCUGCUUAAGAUAACACAUGCAGAUCCAUGGUACGCAGACAUCGUAAACUUUAUAGUAAAAGGCUAUGUCCCACCGGGUACAAACAAAAGGAAGUUACUUCAUGAUAGUCGUUUCUACCUUUGGGAUGAGCCAUAUCUUUUCCGAGUCUGCGCUGAUGGACUCUUGAGGAGGUGUGUUCCUAUGGCUGAGGCUACUCAAAUUAUGGAAAGAUGCCAUGCCUCGCCAUAUGGAGGACACAAUGGAGCAUUCCGGACACAUGCUAAAAUUUGGCAAAGUGGUUUUUUCUGGCCAACGAUGUAUGAAGAUAUUGGACUUUGUCAGGAGAUGCCACAGAUGUCAAAAACAUGGGAAUAUCAACUCGCAAAAUGAAAUGCCUCUCACAAAUAAUCUUCAAGUAGAACUUUUCGAUGUAUGGGGCAUUGAUUUCAUGGGCCAUUCCCUAUGUCUGGGAAUUACGAGUAUAUCUUAGUAGCUGUGGACUACGUGUCCAAAUGGGUAGAAGCCCUACCUUGUUGAUCAGCUGAUUCAAAACAUUCCAAGAGAAUGUUCCAUGAAGUAAUCUUUCCUCGCUUUGGUAUACCUCGGAUAGUUAUAAGCGAUGGAGGUUCCAACUUCAUCGACAAAAUCUUCCAGAAGUACCUAGCCGAUCUUGGAGUUCGACACAAUGUCGCAACACCAUACCAUCCUCAGACUAGCGAUCAAGCCGAAACAUCUAACAAACAAAUCAAAAAUAUUUUACAAAAGACCGUAGAUGAGAUGGGUAAGGGGUGGAAAGACAAACUUCCUGAUGCACUUUGGGCAUAUAGAACUGCAUUCAAAACACCCAUAGGCAUGUCACCUUAUCAACUUGUAUAUGGAAAAACUUGUCAUUUGCCUGUGGAAGUAGAGUUUAAGGCUCACUGGGCACUCAAGAAAUGGAACAUGGAUCUCCACCUCGCUAGCGAGAAUCGUCUGAUGCAACUAUCUGAGAUAGAAGAAUGGAGAGGGAAAGCCUACCACAAUUCAAGGAUCUAUAAAGAGAGAACAAAACGAUGGCAUGAUAAGAGAAUCAAGCACAAGGUGUUUAAGCCUGGAGAUAAGGUUCUACUAUUCAAUUCAAGAGUUAAGCUCUUUGGGCAUGGUAAGCUACGAAGUAAGUGGGAUGGACCAUACAAGGUUAUUUACACUUCAACUCAUGGAGCCAUUACCAUCCAAGACGACAUAGGUAACACUUUUAUGGUAAAUGGUCAACGCUUGAAAAUCUAUCUCGAGCCACAAAACAACGUGGUAGAGGAACUUGAUGUGAUUGAGUUCAUAGAAUUCUCACAUUAAGCUCUCAUAAGCUCUAGACAAUUACCUAACCCUUAACAUGCUCCACGAGUUUUGUUGUCUAUUUGGGUUGUGCAGGAUAUUGAGGCUUAAGAAGAGUGAGACCGAACAUGCAGGCCACAAAGAGUGAAUGACUAUGUCAUCAUCGAGCUUGGGGGAGGCACCCCCACAUGUAUCUAGAUAAGUAUUACUUUUCUUUCUUGGUUUUAUUUACUAGUAUUCGGAAAUAAAUAAAAAAAAUGCAUAACCAUGAAACCAAACAAAGUUUUUCUUUUGAGUAAUACACAAUAGUUUUGUGUAAUCCUAAGUUUUAAAUAAAAUAAAAAGAAAGUCUGAUCCAAGUCUAGGUAAUUGAUAAACAUGAUAUGAGAAAGUCUGAGCUACUAUUUAACUUGUUCCAAGUUUCGCUAGAGUUCUAGAGAUUUUAUCUUUUGAAAAUCUUUAAAAAAUGAGAUCCUGUUUGACAUAAUACCUUGAGUCUUAUAAGAUAUUGUCGAGGGUGUCAAUAAGGGGUACCCAAACUAAUACGCAUAACAACAAUACCCGUACACCGAGGCCCCUGACUCGACGUCCCAGAUUCAUACGCUCGAUUGCCAAAACGCGAUGACGACCAUAUCCUCGAAUAUGGAGAAGGGGUCAUGCGAAUCGGCUGAGGCUUGACUAAGCAUCGACCAUCGAAUACAGAACUGGCUCAUACGAAUCGACAGGCCUCGAGUGCAAGGACGCCGCCCGCCGCUUGACAUGGGUACAAGAACCAGGGCAUUUAAUGCGCCUGUUGCGUACUUGUUGACGGUUCUUAAGUAUCAAUUUUAAUUAUCAAAUAAACAAGAGAAAGGACCAAUAUGCAACUAACACCUAGAAUUAGGGUUUGAUCUAACAGAAUUCCACGAGUUUUGUUGUUUAUCUAUUUCUUCAGGGGGUUAUCAGAAAAUAAGGAAGAAAGGCCCACAUGUCGGGAUUACAUAGAGAUAUCAACACACCGCACGAUUUUCCACCAUCUAGAAGACUCCAGAAGCCACGGGAAGAAGACGGAGGCCGAAAGGGGCCAGGCCCAGGGCGCCCGCCCUGGUGACCUGGGCGCCCGCCCCCUGCUGGAUUGCUUUCAGCACUCUCUUCGCUCGGGAUAUUCCACUGACCUAUUGGAUCGAGAAAAACAUAGUACCACCUCGCCUAUCGACCCAAAAACGCAGAGAAGGGGAGGACUAUAUAAGGAGACCCCCCUGGCCCCUGGAGAAGACAUGAAGAAAUUAUCAUAGAGACUGAGGGGUGCCGAAGGAAAACCUCUUCUCUAAUUAAUAUUUCUUUUUAGGCUUAGCAAUCAAUGUAAGGUAGAAAUAGAUCUUCUAGUUUCUACUAGAUUGAGAGAGAUAGAGUGGAGGUGUUGAUUGGAGGAAGCCCGGCCUGUCGGUGUCUAUUCCAAGCUUGUACCUGCGGGAUCAAGUUCUCCUAACCCGAAGCUUGCUCCUAGGAUUCUUCAGUAAUUCGACUUCUAAAUUCUAGUAAGUUCUUGUUUUAUUGUUCUUAUGGUUUAUGAGUUUACUUUAAUCUCUUCGCGUAGAGUUUAGAGUAAUCAUUGCUGGCGUAAACGUGGUGUUUAGGCUGGGGUACUCAUAGAUAUUCCCUGACUAGCUGGACCGUGGUAGUAGUGAGGAACGUGACAAUUCCGAGCUACCUUUGUAGAUCACAUCUCGUUAGCAGGAAGGAUAGGGUUUAUAGGUGCGGGUUGAACAUCCUUUGUGGUGUCUAGAUUCCGUUAGCCUCCCCAUUAGAACAGUAGAUCAUCCUUACCAAGGUUAGAAGGAGACUACGGUUGCAGUCUUCUCUAUUUAUCACUCACAUCGAAAGACAUUCUUUGUGCCUAAAGGUUAGUAGUAAUAGACCGGUUAGUCAGAUGCACUCUUUCUCCUAGUGGUAAAAAAAUAAAUACGAUACUCUGGAUAAUUUCCCGGGUGAAGUGCUCACCGAUAUCCUGAGAAAGACGGUUGGUGAGAUAACCUGAGUCUUGCUACUAGCUUGUAUCUAUGAAUCUUUUAUCUUUUAUAUUCUUUAUUUUCUUUACUCUUACCUUAUGGAAAACCAAAAUUCUAAAUCAAUCCAUGAAUCUGCAAUCCCUUUAGCAACUGACCUUUUACCAUGGGAGUCAUCACAGCCUGUCCAAACAUCCCAGUAUAAGUUAAGUUCUAGGUUGAUUGCCAUGAUUCAAAACCUAUCUUUUUCGGGAAAGGAAGACGAAAACCCUUACCUUCAUAUUAGAGAUUUUGAGCAAACAUGUGAUUGUCUUCGCAUUGAAGGCAUUUCUUAUAAAACUUUACGUUGGAAGCUUUUUCCUUUUUCCUUAAGGGGAGAAGCUAGACAAUGGUACAGUCAGAAGGUAAGUCAACAACAAGGUGAAUGGGGAGUUUUACGAGCCAACUUUUGUCUAGAUUUAUAUUCCCUUGACCGUAUAGCCGACCUUAGACUCGAAGUCCUAUCUUUUAAACAAAAAGAUAAUGAAACUUUGGGGAAAUCCUGAAAACGUUUUUCUGAUCUUUUAGAAUCUGGUCCAAACCUUAAUCUUGAAGACCCUGUUCUUUUAUUUCACUUUUUUCAAGGUCUUCAGAAAAAUCACAAACAAAUGCUACACACAAUGUCUAGAGGUUCUUUCUUUCGCAUCCCUGCUGAUGAAGCUAGAGUGAUCCUAGAUAGAAUCCUAGAAGCUGAGAUGGAUAAUACCCUUCAUGAUGAAACCUACGAAGCUGAAGUAGACACUCUGCCAAAUUCUUCAUCUACUUUAGCUAUCCCAAGUUCUGAGCCACAAGAGGAAGAAAUUCCACCACCGGACUUCAUGCUGGAUAUAGAAUCCGAUCUUUUUGCCGAUUUUGGAAAUAUUUCAAACUACCAUUCUAUUGACAAACCCCAAAACGGCCAAUUUAGCAUUUAUUUGCCAAGUGAAUAUCAAUUGAGAGAGCUUAUCUCAGUAAUGAGUAGCGAAUGGUUGGAGGAAUCAGAGCUUUCCUCUAAUGUGAUCCGUUUGGACACAGCCUCUAUAACUAUACGCUGUGCUUAUAAUUCUGAUCGAUUUAAUGCUCUCUAUAAUCCUAUUGUGGGGAUCAACAUCAUGUCUGAAUAUUUUGCACUUAAACUAUUUAAAAAUCUUGUCUUAACCCCCACAACAAAGGUCAUAAAGGAAUCUUCGGGACGAUUAGUCCCCAGUCUUGGAAUUAUUAAUGUCCUACCUCUUACGGCAGAAGGAUCCAUGGUUCAUUUGAACUUCUAUAUCUUUGAUACAUGGGACUUCGACCUGUUAAUAGGACAACCUUUUAGAAGACUCCUUUAUGAAGGUCAUACUAGAAAGCUACACAUUUCUUUUGGAAAAACUUUUAAAUUCCCAAUAACAAUUUCACACUCCUUAAACAAUAAGGCCGAGUCAUAUCUUUUGCCUGAUCCUAUGGAGGAAGUAAAGGCUGCAUCUCUAGAGCUUUUAGAUGAACCAGACUUAGAAGACGAAACUCCUUUCUUCACAGAAGAAGAAGACGAACCUUCUGAGCCUGAACACUUAGAUGAGUUUGCAGAAACACCUAGACCCCCCAUAGAGCUUAAAACUUUACCACCCGGUCUUACUUAUGCUUUCCUAAACAAUAAUCCAGAGUUCCCUGUGAUCAUUAGUGAUAAACUCACUCAGGAUCAAACUCUGCGAUUAAUGACCAUUCUUGAGAAACAUCACUCAGUUUUCGGCUACUCACUCCAAGAUCUUACAGGAAUCAGUCCUAUGAUUUGUACCCAUCGUAUUCCAACAGAUCCUUCUGUUUCACCCUCUCGAGAACCCCAACGUAGACUUAAUAAUACUAUGAGAGAGGUAGUUAAAAAGGAAGUUAUAAAGUCGCUGCAUGCAGGGAUUAUAUAUCCUGUGCCGCACAGUGAGUGGGUAAGCCCAGUACAAGUUGUGCCCAAAAAGGGAGGCAUGACUGUUAUUAUGAAUGAAAAGAACGAGCUAAUUCCGCAACGCACCGUCACAGGAUGGCGGAUGUGCAUAGACUAUAGAAAACUAAACAAAGCCACAAGAAAAGAUCACUUUCCUUUACCUUUCAUAGAUGAGAUGCUAGAGCGGUUAGCAAACCAUUCAUUCUUUUGUUUCUUAGAUGGAUAUUCAGGGUAUCAUCAAAUCCCGAUCCAUCCCGAUGAUCAAAGCAAAACCACUUUUACAUGCCCGUAUGGAACUUAUGCUUAUCGUAGAAUGUCUUUUGGGUUAUGUAAUGCACCAGCUUCUUUUCAAAUAUGCAUGAUGUCUAUAUUUUCUGAUAUGAUUGAAGAGAUUAUGGAAGUUUUCAUGGAUUAUUUCUCUGUUUAUGGAAAAACUUUUGACAGUUGUCUUGAAAACUUAGACAAGGUUUUGCAAAGAUGUGAAGAAAAGCACUUAAUCCUUAAUUGGGAAAAAUGUCAUUUUAUGGUUAGGGAAGGAAUAGUGCUGGGACACUUAGUGUCUGAAAGAGGAAUUGAGGUAGACAAAGCUAAAAUUGAAGUAAUUGAACAAUUACCUCCACCUGUAAACAUAAAAGGAAUUCGAAGCUUUCUUGGCCAUGCUGGUUUUUAUCGUAGAUUCAUAAAAGAUUUUUCAUUUAUUGCUAGACCACUUACUCUUUUGCUAGCCAAGGAUGCUCCUUUCGAAUUUGAUGAUGCAUGUCUAACAUCGUUCAAUUUAUUAAAGAAAGCACUCAUCUCUGCACCAAUCAUUCAACCCCCUGAUUGGUCGCUGCCUUUUGAAAUUAUGUGUGAUGCUAGUGAUUAUGCUGUGGGGGCAGUAUUGGGACAAACUAAAGAUAAGAAGCAUCAUGCAAUUGCUUAUGCCAGUAAAACUUUGACAGGAGAUCAACUUAACUAUGCAACCACUAAAAAAGAGCUUCUGGCUGUUGUCUUUGCCAUUGAUAAAUUUAGAUCUUAUUUAGUUGGAGCUAAAAUAAUUGUUACUAAUCAUGCUGCACUAAAAUAUUUGCUCACUAAAAAAGAUGCUAAACCUCGCCUGAUUAGAUGGAUCUUAUUACUCCAAGAAUUUGACUUAGAAAUAAAAGAUAAAAAAGGAGUAGAAAAUUCUGUUGCUGAUCACUUGUCUAGAAUGUAUUUCAAGAGUCCACAGGAAACCCCCAUCAAUGAUUCACUUCGGGACGACAUGCUCUACGGGAUUAACAGGUCUGACCCCUGGUAUGCAGAUAUUGUUGAUUUUAUGGUUUCAGGGUAUGUACCACCAGGAGCAAACAAGAAGAAGCUUAUUCAAGAAAGUCGUUCACAUAUAUGGGAUGAGCCAUACCUCUUCCAAGUAUGCUCUGAUGGCUUACUCAGGAGAUGUGUGACCAUUGAGGAAGGAUGGAAGAUCAUCGACAGAUGUCAUUCAUCACCAUAUGCCAAGGUCACUAUGGAGCAUUCCGUACACAUUCAAAGAUCUGGCAGUGUGGACUCUACUGGCCUACAAUGUAUGAAGACACGAGGCAAUAUAUCAGAAGAUGUGGGCCAUGUUAAAGACAUGGAAACAUAAAUACAAGGGAUGCAAUGCCACUCACCAACAACCUUCAGAUUGAGCUCUUUGAUGUCUGGGGAAUAGACUACAUGGGUCCAUUUCCUCCAUCAAAGAAGUGCGAGUACAUCUUGGUGGCGGUUGACUAUGUCUCCAAGUGGGUAGAGGCAUUACCUUGCAAGCAUGCUGACAACGUCAGUUCAAAGAGGAUGUUUGAAGAAAUUAUAUUUCCAAGAUUUGGAGUCCCCAGAGUAGUGAUAAGUGAUGGAGGAGCACACUUCAUCGACAAACGCUUCAAGCAAUAUCUAUCAAGACAUGGAAUCCGUCACAACGUCGCUACCCCUUAUCAUCCUCAGACAAGUGGCCAAGCAGAGACUUCCAACAAACAAAUCAAGAAUAUUCUUCAGAAGACAGUAAAUGAAAUGGGAACGGCGUGGAAAGACAAGUUACCUGAUGCACUCUGGGCAUACCGGACAGCAUACAAGACCCCAAUUGGAAUGUCUCCAUACCAAUUGGUGUACGGGAAGACUUGCCAUCUACCUGUUGAACUAGAGUUCAAAGCACACUGGGCCAUAAAGAGAUGGAAUAUGGACCUAGAUGUUGCUGGAGAUUAUAGAAGAAUGCAACUAUCAGAAUUGGAAGAAUGGUGAGAGAAGGCAUAUCACAACUCAAAGAUCUACAAAGAAAGAGUAAAAAGGUGGCAUGACAAGAGAAUCAAAAAGAAGGAGUUCACACCCGGAGAUAAGGUAUUACUUUUUAAUUCCAGGGUGAAGCUUUUCGGGCAUGGAAAACUCCGGAGCAAAUGGGAAGGACCAUUCAAGGUAAUUAAUUCAUCAUCCCAUAGAGCUAUCACACUUCAAAAUGACGAAGGUACGUUAUUCAAGGUAAAUGGUCAACGUCUUAAAUUAUUUUUAGAGCCCAAUGAGGAAUUUGAAGAAAUAGACGUAUUCCACUUUUACCUUCCCAUGGAGAAUUAGAGCCCGACCUUUUUAGUCUGAUGUUUUUGGGUCAUAUAUAUAUUUUUCUAAAUAAUUUCGUAUCUAGAAACGUGCUCGAGAAAGUGGGCCCACAGAGGGGCCAGAGAGAGGGCGGGCGCCCAGCUCAGGUGGGCGGGCGCCCAGCUCCUGUUCCCCCUCGGUCCCGAUUUUCUCUGUUAUGGAAAAUGCACUUAUGGUAAUUCGAAUAAUCCCUCGGAUGGAAAGUUUCCCACGCAAGUCGACGGGAGCAACCUGAACAACCCAUAGAGGCACCCUUUUGACCCCUAUAUAAACAGACCCUGACCUCAGUUUUCAAACACCAAGCCACCAAUCCUUCUCUCCUUCAAUUAGAGCUUGAUUAGCUCUCCUUAAAUUAGAGCUUGAUUAGUUCCUUGCUGCUCCAAUGGCCGAGAAGUACCACGAUGAUUGGGAAGUCGUCCCCUUCAACCUCAACAUGGAGCUUGUGGAAGACCCCGAUGCCCGUGCUCUCGUCCCGGCCAACACAGAGCGACAGCUAGAAGCUAUGCCAUUACGCCAACGCAGCUCCGCCCAAUCUUACAAUGCUCAACCAGUUCUCACCGCACCGCCACAACCCCUACUCCUCAAAGGAUCAUCAUCCAAGAUAAAGACCACUAUCAAGGUGCCAACCGGCACAAGGAUCCUUGCACCUAGACCCAAUGAGAGGGUCGUUGGAGUCAAGACCAACCGGAGCGGUGAGAUCAGCAGUAUUCGCUACACUACGGAGGAGGAAAGGCCUUUGAAGGGAUUAGACCAGCCAAAGUCCGUUUCAUCCCUCCAAAGGCAGCCCCGAAGCACUCUCUCAAUGCUUUUGAGACACCUCCCAAGCGUCGCAAGACUAUAAUGGAUAUUGAUGAGGAAGUUCGCAGGCUAGAUAGAGUUAUCAUAGAUCUCCAGUCCUCGAUCAACUCCCUCACUAGCCAGCUCUCUAACCACAACACUAUUAUACUAGGCCUUAGGCAGGAUCUUGCCAGUGCCAACAAGAAGAUCAAGGAAUUAGAGCGCCGCUAAGUUAUCUAGAUUAGACCUUGAGGCAAUGCAUUUUAGUUAUCUAUCUUUAAAUUCGGUUUAGGUUUGCAAUUAUCAUCAGUUUGCUAUUAUCAUCAGUUUGUUAUCAGUUUGCUACUAGUCUUUUGUAAUAAAUGCCUCAAGAUUAAUAAAGAGUAUUACUAUUAUUAUUAUUAUGUCUUGUGUGUCUCUACUUUAUUUUUGUGCAAGAAAGCAAAAAAACAAGUAUGGGGGAGAUCCCUCGACAUGCCAACCACACUCCUACUACACCACUCCACGAUUCAGGUACACACUCUGCACACUUUACACAUACAUAUAUUUUGGAUUAUGCAGAUUAUUGUUUCCGACAUGAUAAAAUAAAAAGAUUAAAAUAUUUCUAAUCAUGAUUAAUCUCAAUAUGUGAUAUUUCCUGAAAACUUACAAUUAUUGAAAAUCAUUUUAAAACCCUGUGUCACUUAAGUCAAUAUGGAAUAUGUGAUGGUAGAGUAUGAGUUUCUUAUUCUUGAUAUCAUUGUUGCUUGGAGAAUUUAUUUCAAAAUAUUCAAAAUUAUAGCUACCAUCCUCAGUGUUUUAUGGCUGAUAAGACUGAAAAUAUUAAUUAUAAUUAUAAAAGCUAUCUACUCUGUAUUGAGUUUGUUCAAAAUGAGUUAGACCCUUGUUGAGAGAUUUAUCAUGCUCCUAAGAUCAAGACAGUAUUUCAGAAAGAUUCACUCUUCCGAAGUAUUAUUGCAUUAGAGGCAUGGGCUAUGCAUAAAUAGAAAUAUUUCGAGGAAAUAAAAAGGAGCAAGUGCUCGACAACAUCGCAGAAAAAAAUGGACAAGUGUCCGGCAGUAGAAUUAGGGGUACCUCGGUAUCCACUUAAAAAAAAUAUACCCCAUGGUCCCUCUAAUAAGCAAUAUGCCAGCAAGAGUUGACAAAGAUUUUAAUUUCCAAAGUUUUUGAUCUAAGAGUAUGACAUUCCCCUCCUCGGAUCCCGUUUUGAUCAGGCAAUAAAUGCAAAGUAAGUAUGCUUGAGAAUUUUUGCAAAAAUAAAACAGCCUCAGUGAGAUAUAUACAAAAGAUAAUGAGUGAUCUGAGAGAACCUAUGAGGAUAAAAAGGUAUGCUAACUUUCUUUCAAAAAUAUACAAAAACUCCAAGUGACAGGAUUGAGAAGAAAGGAUCUCUACUCUUAACCAUAAACUUCCCUGACUAUGGUACAUAGUGGAAUUUUUAACACCCUGCAAUUAUAUAAAGAAUGUUUUAAAUGUUUUACCCCAGAUAUUGUUCUUAACCAUCCUUUUCUCGAGGACGAGUAAAAGCCUAAGUAUGUGGGUAUUUGUUGACGGUUCUUAAGUAUCAAUUUUAAUUAUCAAAUAAACAAGAGAAAGGACCAAUAUGCAACUAACACCUAGAAUUAGGGUUUGAUCUGACAGAAUUCCACGAGUUUUGUUGUUUAUCUAUUUCUGCAGGGGGUUAUCAGGAAAUAAGGAAGAAAGGCCCACAUGUCGGGAUUACAUAGAGAUAUCAACACAUCGCACGAUUUUCCACCAUCUAGAAGACUCCAGAAGCCACGGGAAGAAGACUGAGGCUGAAAGGGGCUAGGCCCAGGGCGCCCGCCCUGGUGACCUGGGCGCCCGCCCCAUGCUGGAUUGCUUUCAGGACUCUCUUCGCUCGGGAUAUUCCACCGACCUAUUGGAUCAAGAAAAACAUAGUACCACCUCGCCUAUCGACCCAAAAACGCAUAGAAGGGGAGGACUAUAUAAGGAGACCCCCUGGCCCCUGGAGAAGACAUGAAGAAAUUAUCAUAGAGAUUGAGGGGUGCCCUCGAAGGAAAACCUCUUCUCUAAUUAAUAUUUCUUUUUAGGCUUAGCAAUCAAUGUAAGGUAGAAAUAGAUCUUCUAGUUUCUACUAGAUUGAGAGAGAUAGAGUGGAGGUGUUGAUUGGAGGAAGCCCGGCCUGUCGGUGUCUACUCCAAGCUUGUACCUUGCGGGAUCAAGUUCUCCUAACCCGAAGCUUGCUCCUAGGAUUCUUCAGUAAUUCGACUUCUAAAUUCUAGUAAGUUCUUGUUUUAUUGUUCUUAUGGUUUAUGAGUUUACUUUAAUCUCUUCGCGUAGAGUUUAGAGUAAUCAUUGCUGGCGUAAACGUGGUGUUUAGGCUGGGGUACUCAUAGAUAUUCCCUGACUAGCUGGACCGUGGUAGUAGUGAGGAACGUGACAAUUCCGAGCUACCUUUGUAGAUCACAUCUCGUUAGCAGGAAGGAUAGGGUUUAUUGGUGCGGGUUGAACAUCCUUUGUGGUGUCUAGAUUCCGUUAGCCUCCCCAUUAGAACAGUAGAUCAUCCUUACCAAGGUUAGAAGGAGACUACGGUUGCAGUCUUCUCUAUUUAUCACUCACAUCGAAAGACAUUCUUUGUGCCUAAAGGUUAGUAGUAAUAGACCGGUUAGUCAGAUGCACUCUUUCUCCUAGUGGUAAAAAAAUAAAUACGAUACUCUGGAUAAUUUCCCGGGUGAAGUGCUCACCGAUAUCCGUGCGCUUGCGGAUCAAUUCCUUAUUGCGUUCCCAAAUAUCAACAGUUCUCACCUAACCCGGCAGUCACGGGAAGCGUGAUAGGGAGCAAGCACCCAUCCAAUCGCCCUUUUUGCAGCCUUGUCCACCAGAUGAACCAGAGUAGGUCAGGGCGCAGUGAGACGGUCGGAACGUCUUGUCACGACCCCCCUCGAGACGCCCAAAGUCAGCGCUCCUAUCAGCAAGGCUUUGCGUGGCGUUGGACCCUCGAGUGAACACUUUCCUUCCCAAAGAAGAGUCAGGCGGUGAAAGACAACACCUCAACAACUCUGACGCGACAGCAGCCACGACGUACAGGUGUGCCCACGGUUAAGCCGAUCCAGGACGGCGCGCAGGAGCCGAAUUCAGAGGCACGCGUAAUCAUCAUCCAAGUACUGAGUAACAAGACGGCUUGAGGCCACGCCAGUACGGAAGCCUCGAGUAGGUCAGCGCACCACGCAUCUAUCGACCCCUACUCUAUCACCUACGCCAUGUAACCUAGGUCACCCCUUGGAACUAUAAAAGGGUAGGCACAGGAAAGGAUAGGGGACACAAGACAUACCUAGAAGAACAACCACACUUCAUCUCCCACCAUCCACACAAUACCGACUUGUAUUCACCCCUGUACAAGCACUUAGGUGCAAGAUAAUAGAAACAUCUCCUCCCCACCCGACGUAGGGCCUUCUCUUGCCCGAACCAGGAUAAACCUUUGUGCCUUUCUUGCAUCACCAUCUGGGAAAGGGAACACGCACACAAGUUUCACUCGUUGGAGUGACCCCCCGUGGGGAAAACACCGAUAGAUAUAAAUAUUAAAACUGUGGGCAAUUGCUUUGUUCAAGUCAUUGUUUAUUUCUUGUGGUUUUGGUUGAGAGAAUUAUCAUGCUCCAAAGAUCAAGAUCGUUUUGUUUUAAAAAUAUAAAAGAUUCACUCUUCCGAAGUAUUAUUGCAUUAGAGGCAUGAGACUAUGCAAAAAUUUGAUUAAAAAAAAGAGUGAGACGAGAGGUAAAAAUGGACAAGUGUCCAAAGUAGAAUUAGGGGUACAAAGAUACCCACCUGAGUGGAAAAAAUGGACACAUGUCUGAUAGUAGAAUUAGGGGUACUUGGUGCCCACUUGAAAAAAAGAAAAAAAAGAGAGAGAGACUGAAAAAAAAGAGAGAAAAAAAAAUGAUAGCCCAUGGUCCCUCUAAUAAGCAAUGUGCUAGUAAGAGAUGACAAACUUUUCAAAAAGGUCAAAGGUAUUGAUGUAGGAGUAUGACAUUCCUCUCCCUUGCUCCGAGCAUUGACAUAGCAAAAUGCAAAGUAAGUAUGCUAAAACUUUUAAAGCUCUACUUAUAUAUCUUUCGAGAAGAAGGCAAAUGCCUCAGUUUUAUUUUGGAAACUUACAAAAAACUCCAGAACAAAGGUAAGACAGAAGAACUUGAGACAUAGUGCUUGACUUGAUCGUUCUGUUUUUCAAUCACUUAAGAGCUUAGUGAUAACUUAAUAACCCUGUAGUAAGAGGCAUAAAAGUAACCCCAGUUUUUUUCUGAUUUUAGCUUUGCUCAGGGACGAGCAAAGGUUAUGCUUGGGGGAGCUUGUUGACGGUCCUUAAUGCUCACAUUUAACCGUCAACUAAUCAUGGAAAAGGACUUAUAUACAACUGUUGGGUAUUUUAAACGCAAAGAGAAAAAUCCGCAAGCGCACGGAUACCGAUGUAGCCUUCACCCGGGAGUAUUCCAGAGUAUCGAUUUUCCACAGAGAACGUGAGUGUACUAAUUAAGAUCCAAGAUCGCCCAAGGAUAACUAUAUAAUUAUUUUUGGUGGGAAGAGAGGAAGUUUCCUGAGAGUUCUCUAGUUGAUCUAAGAAUCAAGAAUUACUUCAAGAUUAUUUAUAUCGGGACAUCAGAGCACUAACCACAGAAAGAGAUGAGAAGGGGGCUAGGAAGGUCUGACUACGGUCCUACAAACACCGAUCCGAACGUGGUGGAAUACGUCGACCGUUAGGGAUGUCACUACCCUAAGGCUACCACAACAAUCCGCAGGAUUGGGUGCAAUUCCAGGUAAUUGCAAGACUAAACACCACGUCUAAUCUAUUAAUUACUACUCUAAUGUUUCAAAGAUUAGAGCACUUGAUGCAAGCGGGAAUCCAAUAAAUAACUUGAAUGUAAAUAAAAGUAAUUAGAGAACUCAGGAGUUAUGAGUUGAAGAACCUAGAGAACGAUGAAGAACGAACCAGAUGUUGCAAAAGUACAAUGUUGAGGAAGAUCCGACAGAUCCGGCUCCUCCUCCGCUCUCCUCUUCUCUCUCCCUAUUUUCUAGAUUACAACUAGAACUAACUAGAACUAGAACUAGAGGAACUAGAACUAGAACUAAAUGAACUAGAACUAGAUCUAGAUGAACUAGAGGUAGAACUAGAAGAACUAGAGGGAUCCUCUCUACUUGGAUGAAUAAUUGAAACCCCUAGCUUUGAUUCUGUAGAAGAGGUAUGAUCUCCAGGGGCCAGGGGGUCUGGUUUUAUAGUCCCUUCAAGUGAAUCUGGGCCGUCGGAUCAAACCGACAUUGAUCGUGUGGUUCUCCUUGAUCCUUUAGGUCGGUGGAGCAUAAUCCGCGAAACGUGUCCUGAUUGGGCACUGUAGCUGGGCGGGCGCCCUGCCUCCGAGCCCGAUUUCCUUCCCGUUCGUUCCCGUGGCUUCUGGAGUCUUCUAGAUGAUAGAAAAUUGCGCGACACGUUAAUAUCUCUAUGUAAACCUGACGUGUGGGCCUUUCUUCCAUAUUUCCUGAUAACCCCCUGCAGAAAUACACAAACACCAAAACUCGUGGAAUUCUGUCAGAUAAAACCCUAAGUCUAGGUGUUGGUUGCAUUUGGAUCCUUUUCCAUGAUUAAUUGAUGGUUAAUUGUGAGCAUUAAGGACCGUCAACAAGCUCCCCCAAGCUUAACCUUUGCUCGUCCCUGAGCAAAGAUGAACUCAAGAGUUUCUGAAGUGGUUUCAUAACUUAAAGAUACACAUGCGUUUAAACAAGAUCUCAUAUCUGGUUAGAGUAAACUGUUAAGACUUAAAACUUACUCAUUUACCUUUCACCAUGGGACUUGUAACCGUCACUUCUGUCUUGAGUAGUUAAAAGAUAGAACGGUCUAGUCAAGCACCAUGUCUCUUAUUCUUGAUCAGCUAUAGCUCUAGAGUUUUUGCAGAUUUUCAAAUAAAACACAGAGAUUCCUUGUAUGACUCUCUCUAGUCUCUCUUUUGUGGUAUUUCUAGAUCCUUACCAAGGCAUUAAUGGUGUAUGCCUUCUCUCAAAGUAUGUGGUAUUUGUGGUAUAAGGCAUAGUGGCAUUGCCUUCUCUCUCACCCUACUCUUAUAAGGUUUUGAUAUCUGGAGCUCAUAGGUGGGAGACAGCUAAUACAUACUUACAAGACAUUUAUUGCAUAGUCAAACCAUGGAUCCAGAAGAACAAGUCAAUAAGUCAAAUCAAGAUGUGCAUGUGUGGUGAAUGAAUGGUGUAUGGUGAUGAUGGUUAUAACAAUGGUGAAAGUCUAAUUCUACUUAUGCUCUUUUGAGGGGAUACAUACCUUUCUUGCUCUUUUGAAACUUUUUGAGGAGAAUGAGAUGCUCUAUAUAUUUUUUUCUUUUCUCUCAGGUGGGUAUCUUGUGCCCCUAAUUCUACUGUCGGACACUUGUCCAUUUUUACCUCUCGUCUCACUUUUUUUUUAGGUUCCGGGCACUUGCCCCUUUUUAUUUCCUCGUAUUUAUUUUUUUUCUCUCUCUUUUUUUUCUUUUUUUUAGAGCACUCAUCUCCUGAAAUAAUAUAGCAAGUGGUAGUAACCAAGAUAACUUGUGCAUUUAUUUCACAGGGGAAAAACAGAAAUAUUUUUGGCUAUUCUCUCUCGGAUUAGGAGUAGAAUAUUUUUGGGUGGUUCUGGAGAUGGAAAUGGAUGGAUAUAUGUGGAUGCGUUCUUCCGAAGUAGAAGUAGCAUGUAUGAGUGAACGUGCAAGUGAAUCUUGAUUUAACCACAUGACAAGCUCCUAAGGGUCUACACAGCUUGACCACACUCAAUGCUCAUAAGUAGUAAAAAGUAAAUGUGUGGCUCAUAGUCUAACAAGCAUGUAUAUAUGGCUGUGGUAGGAAUUUAAACUCUCAUCAUACGGGAACUCAUCAUGCAACAUUUUAAAGAUUUUCAAAGAUAAAAUUCUCCAGAAUUCUAGCAUCCCUAGGAACACAUAAACAACAGCUUAACCUUCCCAUAUCAUAUCCGUUAACAACUUAGACUUUAGAUCAAGUACUCUCCCCACAAGUUCAGGUUUAGAGCAAAUCUUAAUUAAUAACAGUCAUGCCUAAACUUGAGAGAGAUUUCAAUUUUGAUAACUAGUCAUGGUAGAGCAACUAUUCAUCAUUUCCAUGUGAGAGCUUAUUAUGAGGGUUCAUAGCAAACUUUAUUUAUUUAUUUAUUUAGCAAGCUAAGCAAAGAUAUAUAUAAGCACAAAAUCUUUAUUUGGGUUUUUAUGAUCAUGCAUCUUUUUAUUAUUUGAGUAAAAUAUAAACGUGAGUAGAACACUUAGCUGGAUAAAUGGGGGUGCUCUCCCCCAAGCUGGAUUUUGACGUAAUUUCUUCUGAUGUAGCUAGCAGGUGGCGGAGGUGUAUUUGAAUGUCGGCAGCACUCUGAUAGCGAUUAGGAUGUCCUCCGUCUGCUAGUCUUCUUUGAUCCUUG
This 54909-nucleotide long non-coding RNA is filed under the name Sorghum bicolor (sorghum). RNAcentral describes it as "long non-coding RNA (SBIC_LNC003085)". Lineage: Eukaryota; Viridiplantae; Streptophyta; Magnoliopsida; Poales; Poaceae. The record is from RNAcentral.